Molecule: long non-coding RNA, 63618 nt
Filed under: Sorghum bicolor (sorghum)
Lineage: Eukaryota; Viridiplantae; Streptophyta; Magnoliopsida; Poales; Poaceae
Description: long non-coding RNA (SBIC_LNC012909)
Rfam family: Plant small nucleolar RNA R71 (bases 40110-40217)
Source: RNAcentral
GACACGUUAAUAUCUCUAUGUAAACCCGACGUGUGGGCCUUCUCACCUUAUUUCCUGAUAACCCCCUACAGAAAUAGACAAACACCAAAACUCGUGAAAUUCUGUCAGAUAAAACCCUAAGUUUAGAUGCUGGUUGUAUUUGGAUCCUUUUCUUUAUUUAUUUGAUGAUUAAAUUUGGUACUUAAGGACCGUCAACAACUCCCCCAAGCUUACCUCUUGCUCGUCCCUGAGCAAGGAUGGACUCAAGAGUUUCUGCGGUGGUUUCAUGCCUUAAAGGUACACAUGCGUUCAAACAAGAUCUCAUCUCUAUGUUAGGGUAAACUGUUAUGAUUUAAACUUACUCAUAUUACCUUCCACCAUGGGGCUUGCAACCGUCACUUGUGUCUUGAGCAGUUAAAAGAUAGAACGGUCAAGUCAAGCACCAUGUCUCUUGUUCUUUGAUCAACUAUAGCUCUGGAGUUUUUGCAGAUUUUCAAAUAAAACUCGGAGAUUCCUUGUAUGACUCUCUCUAGUCUCUCUUUUGUGGUAUUUCUGGAUCCUUACCAAGGCAGUGAUGAUAUACGCCUUCUCUCAAAGUAUGUAGUAUUUGUGGUAUGAGGCAUAGUGAUAUUGCCUUCUCUCUCACCCUACUCUAAUAAGGUUUGAUAUCUGGAGCUCAUAGGUGGGAGACAGCUAAUACAUACGUACAAGACAUUUAUUGCAUAGUCAAACCAUGGAUCUAGAGAAACAAGUCAAUAAGUCAAAUCAAGAUGUGCAUGUGUGGUGGAUGAAUGGUGUAUGGUGAUGAUGGUGAAAAUGGUGAAAAUAAUGGUGAAAGUCUAAUUCUACUUUUGCUCUUUUGAGGGGAUACAUACCUUUCUUGCACUUUGAAGGUUUUUGAGAGGAAUGAGAUGCUCUAUAUUUUCUUUUUCUUUUCUCUCAGGUGGGUAUCUUGUACCCCUAAUUCUACUGUCGGACACUUGUCCAUUUUUACCUCUCGUCUCACUUUUUCUUUUUCUUCGAGGUUCCGGGCACUUGCCCCUUUUUAUUUCCUCGUAUAUAUAUCUUUUUUAGAGAACUCACCCUCCUAGAAUAAUGUAGCAAGUGGUAGUAACCAAAAUAUCUGGAGCAUUCAUUUCACGGGGAAUAACAGGGAUAGGAUAAUGUUUUUGGCUAUUCUCUCCUGGAAAGGAGUAGAAUAAUUUUAGGCGAAUCUGGAGAUGGAAAGGAGUGGAUGUAUGUGGAUGCGUACUUCCGGAGUAGAAGCAGCAUGUAUGAGUGAACGUGCAAGUGAAUCUUGUUUAACCGCAUGACAAGCUCCUAAGGGUCUACAGCUUGACCACACUCAAUGCUCAUAAGUAGUAAAAGUAAAUAUGUGGUUCAUGUAUAUAUGGCUGUGGUAGGAUUUUAAACUCUCAUCAUACAUGAACUCAUCAUGCAAAAUUUUAAAGAUUUUCAAAGACAAAAUUCUCUAGAAUUCUAGCAUCUCUAGGAACAGAUAAACAACAGCUCAACGUUCCCAUAUCAUAUCCGUUAACGACUUAGACUUUAGAUCAAGUACUCUUCCCACAAGUUCAGGUUUAGAGCAAAUCUUUAUUCAUAACAGUCAUGCCUAAACUUGAGAGAGAUUUCAAUUUUAAGAACUAGGCAGAGCAACUAUUCGUCAUUUUCAUGUGAGAGCUUAUCAUGAGGGUUCAUAGCAAACUUUAUUUAUUUAUUUAUUUAGCAAACUAAGCAAAGAUAUUCAUAUAAGCACAAAAUCUUUAUUUAGGUUUUUAUGAUUAUGCAUCUUUUUAUUAUUUGAGUAUAAAUGCGAGUAGAAACACUUAGCUGGAUAAAUGGGGGUGCUCUCCCCCAAGCUAAAUUUUGACGUAAUUUCUUUUGAUGUAGCUAGCAGGUGGCGGAGGUGUAUUUGAAUGUCGGCAGCACCCUGACAGCGAUUAUAAUGUCCUCCGUCUGCUAGUCUUCUUUGAUCCUUGAAUUCUGUGGAGCUCAAAUAGACAACAAAGCUUUGUGGAACUGGUUAAGUGUUAGCAUAAAAUCUCUUAGCCGUUAUCAUGUUGAGCUUUCUCUAAUAAAUGUUAUUCUCUUUAGUGGGAUCACAAUCUUAUUUUUAUAUUUUCAUUUUUAUAGGACAGGAAUAUAUUUAUUUUAUUUUUACGCCACCAUAGUGAAUGUACUUAUGGGUUUCAUGCCACGAGCAUACUCACAUGGGGCUUAGUAUUUUUUAACAUUUUUAUUUUCUUUUCAAGAUAGCAUGAUUAACAAAUAAUCUAUUUAAGUAAAGUAAAUAAUUAAAGGGAAAAGGGAAUGCAGAAAGGAUAAAUAUGGAUAACUACCGAUUUUACCUUUCGGCGAGGAUUCAAUGUUUUAAGUCUUCUGAACAAGACUUCUCACCGUGUUCAUUCUUUAGGUGCGUCAUUUGAUUCAGGUGUGGACCUUGACGUCUGCACCUCUUAAUACGGUGUCACCCAUGUUCUUCGUUUGCCCAGUAGUUCGAAGUGCGGUGUUGGCAGUAUUUUGCUCAGUGUGUUUGUGAUCGUAGAUCCAGGUUCUUCACUUGGUGGAGUGUGGGAGUUGUAAAACUCCUCCAUGUUUUGCUCGAAGUGUACCUGCUUAUAGAGACAAGGCAGAGAUCAAGUGCAUGGGUCCUGUUGGUGGAAAACACCAACAGAACCAAAAGUAUAUUUAUUCUUCUCUAUCCUUAAGCAUAGGGAGCAAGACAACGUUGAUGGGUGAUAAGUUCAUGAGUGUAGCAUUUAAAACAUUUGCCGGAUCAGAUCUCUCGACCUAAUGGAAAGAUAAUCUAUCUAUAUAUAUGUCUCUUUUUUUAUAUCUUCCCAAAGAUUAAAUGUGCAACAUUUUAGCUCAUAUGACUAGGAGUGUGGGGAUCAAAGAUUAAGGGACUAAACAUGCUGAAUUAGUGGGGUUGGUUAAGAGUUAUAAAUCAUACAUGUUUAUCUCUUUUAUUCAUAUGAACGCCAGAACCAAUGAGAAGCUUAUAAAAGUGAUAGUCAAGUACCUUAAGGUGUUACCUUAUUUGAAGAGUGAUGGUACAGUCUCACCUUGUGGAAGCUUUCGUUUCUUAGCGGUUGUGUAUCAUGUUUGUGGCACCCUCCAUGGAUCAUCUCUUAUGAGCUACGUCUUCCUUAUGUAAAUUUUAAACUUCAUGUGUCCCUCUCCUUGUCUCCAAUGUGAGUUUAUCUCAGGACUUCCUAGGUCGAUAUUGAAAGUUUUCCUGCAUGGGUUAGUCCGACAAAAUAUACCAAUAUCUACUCAAGCAGUUUUUAGUUCAGUAACCAAACUAGACUCCAUGUCUAAUCAGAUUAAGGAAGGCUAUUUAACCUAAGCACCAUGCUUAAUUUAAAUGCCAAUGGAAGUAUGUCGAGUACUUCCAAACCAACACUUGAUAGUAAAUAGACAAAGGUAGCAUGACAGCAUUUACAGAGAUCUACUCAAGUGGAGAUGAAGUAGUGUGAUUAGUAUUUAACAAAUUGAGCAUGUCUCAAAGGCAGGGACAACCAACAUAGCAACAUGGCAAAGGAUGUUUUUAUGUAAAUUACUCCCCCAAGCUUGAAUUUUGCAAAAUUCAAAUUUGGAUUUAAUUCAAUGUUGUAUGAUGAUUGGUUGUACAUACCUUGUGCUUGUCAUUCAUCUGAUCUUCUUGCUCCAAUCCUAGAAAGGUUAAUAACAAGAAUACCCGAAGGAAUAUUUUUACAAUUAUCCUUAUAUGCUCAAUACGCAAGGUAAUGUUGCAAAUAAUUAAAAGCUCAUGUUAUGAUCUGAUCAGUGCUUAUUUUAGGACACUAAGCUUGUCCUUGGGAAACCAUCAAUUUAUGUCGGCGAAGUGGUUUCCAUUCCAAUGCUGACCUAUAUCAAGAUCAACUCAACGAGAUCUGCAAUAUUUAUUAUAGACAUAUGCAUCGACAACUGCCCUUUUAAUGUUUUUAUAAAUAGAAAGGAAGAAGGGGUUGGAGAUCUCAAGUGUGGUGAUGUCAGAGAGACCAAUAGAUUGGGAAGAUGUUGCAUAUGAGCAUGGAGUAAACGAAGUGGCUAUGAAAUAAAUUCUAUGCUCAUUAAUGUUAUCUUCAUCUCCAAUCUGAAUGUUCAGAGUUUCUCCUAGAUUGGUCUCACUUAUGACCUCUUCUAUAGUUGGAUGAAUCUCAUCUUCAAAGGGAGUCAAGAACUCACCAUUUGAAAUUGAGCCAAAGUCAGAAUCCAUUAAGGCUUCUUCUUUAUCCAUCCAUUCUACACAUUCUAGCCAUUUAGAACUUGUGAUCAAGACAGGGGAGCUGAUAGAAUCUUCUCUAUGGCUUAGCUCUCCUUCUAUGGCAUUACUUGACAUGCCAUCCUUAUGGUCUUCAUGACUCCUAUGGUUUGGUCGUCUUGGUGAAUUGCUAGGAUCAUCAUGAGACUAAAAAGAAGAGGGAUGAGAGGGAUCUCUAAGGUCAAGGAUGGAUUUAGAAUUUGUGAACAUGGAAGUUGAGUAGAUAGAAUCUUCUAUAUGGUUUAGCUCUCGUUCACUUGAUAUGUCAUCCUCGACUUCUUCAUAAUAGUGUUGGCACCAUUUUCUAACACGUAUCUAGGAUCGGUAGGAUGUAGGUCAGCAAGAUAGGGUGGCAAUGCUUGGUCUGCAGAAGAUGUUGCCGAUGAAGAUGUUGCCGGUGAAGAUGGUUGCCGAUGAAGGGAUGACCGAAUAUGACUAAGUCCAUAGGUGGCGAUGUGUUUGUGCCGAUGGCUACGAUGAGGGGGUCUGCCGAUGACGCGGAAGGAGGACCUGGAGGUCGCCGAUUGGCCUGUGGAUCGGCCUUUGGAGGUGUCCCGGUUUGUCACGGGAAGAUAGUUUUAUGUUUUCCUUAGUUAGUUAAAUCGUUUUGUACACGGAUUCUGUUUAAAUUUGGAAUUCGAAUUCUAGUCGUGUCUGGUUGUAGCUCUUUGGGCAGGGUAUAAAUGUAGACCCUAGGGCUUUGUAAGCAAUCUAUCAAUCAAUAAAACACACAUUUUUACUCAUAUUCUAGUAUCUACUUUUUCGACGACUUCGUCACACUUUUUCCUUUUUAUUACGAGUUCUUAGGAAUUCGUCGACUUAAGCUCGGCGUAUUCUCAAGUUUCGCGUGAAUACCUCUUGGCCGUGGCAUCCGAGCGCAUCGCUGUUGUUGGGACCAAAGUAUUCGAGUUACCACCUUUGCCGAUAGUAAGGUCAAAUCGGCUGGCACGCCUUAACGUUUAAAUCGGGUAUUAGCCCUUUGUGUUUGCAGAUCAGCUUUUGCAUCAACACAUCUUUUGGCACGCCCGGUGGGACCGAUUCAAGAUCAAGAUCAAUAUGUCGACUACUGAGUUUGAUCAAGAGAACGUCAUCCCCGUGACGGAAGCCAAUCUCAAGGAUGAGCAGAAGCAAGCUAUUGCCAAAGCCAUGGAGGAUUACAAGCAGCAAUGCCUGAGGUCCUUCAGCAUGAACAGGAGUGGCGAGGUGAUCCAGAAGGAAGCACUGCCGAUGCCUCGGCAGGUUACUUUCGAAGCCAAUCCUGGUAAACUCCAAGACAUGGUUGAUAGUGCUAUUAACCGUGCUUUGAUCAAUCAAGCUGGUGUACUGUCCAAUACGGUUUUCAAUGCCGUAGCUAGAACUUUCAAAGAAGGACAAUUGCCACCAGAUUAUGUGGGCCCCUCUCAUCAUCAGCCAGGGUCACCGAUGGUCACAGCUCCAUCGGCUGCUACAGCCGCUGCGGGCGUCCAGACUACUGCUCCUCCAAGUACGUUGGGAGUCACUAAUGCACAAUCUACGCCGAUGACAACUAAUCCGCCGACUUCAGAUGAGCAGAUUAAACUCACUACGGAUCUAUUGGCAUCGGCAAUGUCAGGACCAGUUCCUCCUCCUAACUGGUGGGGUUUUGGUAUGCCCCCAGAGUUCACAUUGAAGACACCUGGCACAUCUCAGACGGCUGAUAUGAGAGGCAAGGCUCCUAUGGCAUCGGCACCUCCCAAUAUGCCGAUGAAUUAGAGUCCCCAGUAUACUACAACUACUACUGCAAGGCCUUACACUAGGAAUUCUCAAGCUCCAACGUUCCAGAUGCCUAAUGCAUCGGCAGAUUCAAUGCUGAUGCAACAGAGGUUUAUGACUCAACCAGGGUAUGUCAACUCAAUGAUCAUGCCCAAUUACCAGUCAUCGGCAGGCCCUAUGCCGAUGAAUGGUAAUAACGGAUGGCCUGAGCAGCAAGUCUUUCCACAAGUGCCCUAGCAGCAUCAUCAAGCUACAGGGUUCCAGCAAGGCCAGAUCUACCUUAGGUUCCAAAAUCAAGGGUUGCCCAACCAGCCAAUGAAUCUUGGGCAGCAGAUCGGCGGGCAACGGUUUGGCGGGCAACAGUUCGGUGGUCAGCAGGCUAACCCAAUGUUCCAUGCAGAUCGUGCACCGCACAGACACGUGGGAGCUUACCAGCAGGUUCCAGAUCCGCAACCGCCUCAUCGGCAAUAUGCCGAUGCUUAUUGGGCCGAUAAGAUCGCUGAAGUAAUGAGAGACCAAUUUGGGAUAAAGCCCAAAGUCAACACUUACUCUUAUCGGACACCGUAUCCUGUGGCAUAUGAUUUAAUCCCGCUUCCAAAUCGGUACAAAGUGCCAGAUUUUACUAAAUUUUCAGGGCAGGAUGAUACAUCAACUAUGGAGCAUGUCAACAGGUUCAUCAUCCAAUGCGGAGAGGCUGCUAACAGGGACGAGUUGAGGGUUCGCUUGUUCUCGUCAUCAUUGUCUGGAUCGGCGUUCACUUGGUUUAUAUCAUUACCUCCCAACUCAGUGAUUACUUGGGCCGAUCUAGAGAAGCAAUUCCACAAAUACUUCUUUUCUGGAGUUCAUGAGAAGAAGAUCAUCGAUUUGAUCAAGCUGAAGCAACGCAAUGAUGAAUCGGUCGAAAGUUUUGUGCAGAGGAUACGGGAAGUCAAGAACAAAUGCUAUAGUCUGGUUUUGGAUGAUCGGCAGCUAGCCGAUUUGGCUUUCCAGGGCUUAUUGCCACAUAUCAGGGACAAGUAUGCAUCUCAAGAGUUUGAAAGCUUAAGUCAUUUGGUGCAGAGGAUUUCUGAUCAAGAUAUCAAACCUUUUGAACCCAAGAGAGCUUGGAAUAAAAAGGUGUCGUUCGUUGAUGAGGCAGCAAGCUCGGAUUCUGAUGAGGAGCCAGUCAUCGGCUUGGCAGAAUGGGUGAAAAACAAGAAGCCGAUGUCUUGCCCUUUCGGGCAUAAAGAGCCAGAGAGGUUCGCAUUUGACAUCACCAAGGCCGAUAAGAUAUUUGACUUUCUACUUCAGAAAGGUCAGAUCAAAUUGUCACCCAAUCAUGUAAUUCCAUCGGCUGAAGAAUUAAAAAGGAUGAAGUACUGCAAAUGGCAUAAUGCAACUUCUCACGAUACCAACGAAUGCAAAGUUUUCAGACAACAGCUACAAUCGGCUAUAGAGUCUGGGAGGAUGAAAUUUGACAAUUCCAAGAUCCAGAAAUCGAUGAAGAUUGAUCAGCAUCCUUUCCCAACAAACAUGCUGGAUGCCAAAGGAAAGGCCAAGGUCUUGACAUCUGAAGCGGCUGAAAGGAGUGCAUCGGUAGAUCCUCAGCAUCAGAUCACCACUGCCGAUGCAAAGGGAAAAGGCUUGAUCCAGGAGGGGACUAACUCAGGAAGGCCUCCCCGAUCUGGUAUUGUGAUAACUCACAAAAGGCCUCAGGAGACUUGGCAGCAGCGUGAAGAUCGGUAUCGGCGCCAGCAAGAGGACUAUCGUCGGGAAGAAGACAGACGCCGACAGGAGUGGAAUCGGCAUCGGGACCACUGGAAUUGUCCGUUCUUCAUCCAUUGUUGGGAGGAAAAUAUCAAACUUCCCACUGUCAGAGAUUGUCCUGAGUGCAACGGUUAUGACCGGUAUGACAGGUCAGAUCGGCAUUAUCGUGAUGAUGAUCGGCGAUUUAAUGGGCCGAUUAGGGGGAGAGCGUCCGUUCAUGCUGGGGGCAGGCUCAGUGUGCACGAUAGGCUCGGCGAUCGUGUUGAGUACUUUCCCAGGAACCAGGAAGAACUUGAGGAGAUGGCUAAUGCUCGAUUUCCCGACGAGUUCAUAUUUUGCAGGGAUGCCAAUACUUAUCAGAUGGAGUCAAGGGAGAAUCAUCGCCCAUCGGUAAGGCAGCAACAACUUCCUUCAUGGUGUCCAGAGGGGUUGACCAGGACACAGAAGAGAAGACUGCAGCGCGAAAGGCGAGAAGAGUUAAGCAAGGGGGAGAACUCUGGACAGUCUGGGGAUCAGCAACAAUCAGAUCCUAAGGGGAAAGGCCCAUCGGCAGACGUCCACAUGGUAUUUAUGUUGCCGAUGGAGUUCCUUGCACCAUCCAGUGAUGAUGAGUUGGAGUUUUCCGACCAGAUAGCUCAGUUGGCUCUAGAUCCGAUGGCAGCCAUCUUCGAAAAGCCUGCCGAUGAUGAAAGGCAACAUCUUAAGGCUCUGUUUGUCAAAGGAAGGGUUGAUGGUCAGCCACUAACCAAGAUUUUAAUUGAUGGUGGGACUGCUAUCAACAUCAUGCCAUAUGCAGUGUAUCGGAAGCUUGGAAAAGGAGAUCAAGAUUUGACCAAGACCGAUAUGAUGCUCAAAGACUUUGAAGGGAAUGUGUCUCCAGUUAAGGGGGCAAUAUGCAUAGAGUUGACCAUCGGCAGUAAAACCUUGCCGACAACCUUCUUCGUGAUCAGUGGAAAGGGUGCUUACAACUUACUAUUGGGAAGAGGUUGGAUUCAUGCCAAUUGUUGCAUCCCGUCUACAAUGCACCAGUGCUUGGUUCAGUGGGUAGGUGAUAAGAUUGAGAUUGUCCCAGGAGAUUCUUCUUAUGUCAUCGCAUCGGCAGAGGCAGACACCUAUGAAAGGAUUAGGUGUAUUUCAGGAGAAGCUUGGGAAAAGGAUUUUCUCAAGGUUGCCGAUUAUGAAAUUGCACCGAUCCAAGCAGUCGGUUCUGAAGAUGGUUUUUAAUGGAUAGGUUCGCCGAUGAUGGAAAAUUAGGCCAAGGGUUCACAUCGGCCGAUGAUCUAGUAGAAGUAGAUAUAGGUAGUGGUGAUAAACCUAGGCCUACUUUUAUUAGUGCCAAGUUAAAUUCAGAGUGUAAGCAGCAGUUAACCAAUUUGUUAAAAGAAUAUAAAGAUUGCUUUGCUUGGGAUUAUACUGAGAUGCCUGGUUUGGACCGAUCGAUUGUUGAACCGGUUGCCUAUCAAGUCUAGAUUUCGGCCACAUCAGCAGCCAGCUCACGGAUGUAAUCCUAAUAUUCUUCCUGAUAUUAAGGCUGAAAUAACUAAGCUGAUUGAAGCUAAAUUUAUUCAGCAGUGUCGGUAUGCCGAGUGGAUUUUCAAUGUGGUUCCAGUCUACAAGAAAAAUGGGAAGCUCCGGGUCUGCAUUGAUUUCAGGAAUCUUAACAAAGCUACACCGAUGGAUGGCUAACCAAUGCCAGUUGCCGAUCUGCUAGUUGAUGCUGCGGCUGGGCAUCGGAUCAUUAGCUUUAUGGAUGGCAAUGUAGGAUACAAUCAAAUAUUCAUGGCUGAAGAAGAUAUUCCAAAGACUGCAUUUAGAUGUCCUGGUCAUGUUGGGUUGUUUGAAUGGAUAGUCAUGACCUUUGGCCUGAAAAAUGCUGGUGCUACUUAACAAAAGGCCAUGAAUUUCAUAUUUCAUGAGUUUAUCGGUAAGCUGGUGUAAAUUUAUAUUGACGAUGUGGUGGUUAAGUCUGGAGACUUUAUAAAGCAUCUUGCCGAUUUGAGAAAGGUAUUGGAAUGUACAAGGAAGCAUGGGUUGAAGAUGAAUCCCAAUAAGUGUGCAUUUGGUGUAUCGGCAGGACAAUUUCUUGGUUUCAUGGUCCAUCAAAGGGGGAUUGAAAUUAGUCGAAGAUCCAUUGAUGCCAUCAACAAAAUAGUUGCUCCUACCAACAAGACUGAGCUCCAGUCCUUGAUCGGCAAGGUAAAUUUUAUCAGGAGAUUUAUAUCUAAUUUGUCUGGUAAAAUUUGUGCUUUCAGUCCUUUACUAAAGUUGAAGGCCGAUCAAGAAUUUGUAUGGGGGAAAGAACAACAGUUGACCUUGGAUGAAAUCAAGAAUUAUUUGGUAAAUCCUCCAGUUCUGAUUCCACCUCAACAAGGGAAGCCCUUCAGAUUGUAUUUGUCUACCGAUGGGAUGGUCAUCGGUUCAGCUUUAAUUCAAGAAUUUGAAGGGAAGGAACGUGUGAUUUACUAUUUAAGCAGGAGGUUGAUUGAUGCUGAUACCAGGUAUUCGGCUAUUGAAAAACUGUGCUUAUGCUUGUACUUCUCCUGUAUUAAGUUAAGGCAUUAUUUGUUGUCGGCCGAAUGCACGGUUAUCUGCAAAGAUGAUGUGGUCCGAUACAUGCUGUCUAUGCCGAUCAUGAGUGGCAGGAUUGGUAAGUGGAUUUUGGCGCUGUCGGAAUCUGAUCUGCGUUACGAAUCGGCCAAGGCGGAUAAAGGACAGAUUAUGGCUGAUUUUGUAACUCAACAUUGCGGUGCUGUGGAGGCUUUGGAAAUUGUACCUUGGACGCUCUUCUUUGAUGGAUCCACAUGCGACCGGGGGGCAGGAAUCGGCAUAGUAUUAAUUUGCCCUCGGGGAAGGAAGUAAUUUUCCUUGCCGAUUGUUGCCACAUCCACAAAUAAUCAAGCUGAGUAUCAAGCUUUGAUAAAGGGUUUGGAAUUGCUGAGGGAAGUUCAUGCUGAUGCUGUUGAGGUCUUCGGGGAUUCUAUGAUAGUUAUAAAUCAAUUGGCUGGAAGCUAUGAAUGCCAAAGUGAAGUCCUGAUAACUUAUCAUGAAAGGAGUAUGGAACUAUUAAAGGAAUUCAAGGAUUUCCGGUUAGAGCAUGUUCCUCGAUUGCAAAAUGAAGAGGCCAAUCGGUUGGCUCAGCAUGCCUCGGGAUAUCAGCCCAUGAUUAAUGCAAUAUCGGCAAUCGGUGCUGAUGAUUGGAGGGAAGAAAUCAUUGAUUAUUUAAAGGAUCCAUCUAAGAAAGUUGAGAGGCGUGUUCGGUUUCAAGCUACCAAAUAUGUGCUCCUUGAAGGUGAAUUAUAUUACCGAACUAUCGAUGGAAUUCUUCUCAGAUGCUUAGGUGAUGAUGAGGCUAAGAGUUUGAUGGGGGAGAUCCACGAGGGAGUAUGUGGAGCGCAUCAAUCGGCUUUUAAGAUGAAGUGGAUGAUUAAAAGAAAUGGGUAUUAUUGGCUGACUAUACUUGAGGAUUGCUUUAAGUAUUUCAAAGGAUGUCAAGGCUGUCAGAAAUUUGGCAACAUUCAAAGAGCGCCUGCAUCAGCUAUGAAUCCUAUCAUUAAGCUGUUCCGGGGAUGGGCUAUUGAUUUGAUCGGCCAGAUUUAUCCGCCAUCCAGCAAGGGGCAUAAAUUCAUUUUAGUUGCCACCGACUAUUUUACCAAAUGGGUUGAAGCUAUUCCUUUGAAGAAAGUUACAUCGGCCAAUACGAUUGAUUUUGUGAAAGAGCACAUUAUCUACCGAUUUGGGAUUCCUCAAACAAUUACUACCGAUCAGGGUACUAUGUUCACAUCGGGAGAGUUUGACGAAUUUGCAAUCGGUAUGGGAAUUAAAGUGUUAAACUCUUCUCCUUACUAUGCUCAAGCUAAUGGGCAGGCCGAGGCAUCUAACAAAGGAAUUAUCAAGCUUAUUAAACGAAAGAUUGAGGUGAAUCCUAGGAGGUGGCACACAUUGUUAAAUGAAGCUUUAUGGUCAUACCGGAUGGCUUGUCAUGGAUCGACCAAGGUUUCACCUUAUCAGUUGGUGUAUGGGCAUGAUGUAGUGUUGCCUUGGGAAAUUAAGACUGGAUCUAGGCGACUAUCUUUUCAAGAUCAACUGGCUGCCGAUGAUUAUGCUACCUUGAUGACAGAUGUGUUAGAUGAUCUAGCAGGACAUCGGCUAAAGGCCUUAAUGAGUAUAGAAGAGAAUAAGAAGAGAGUUGCCAGAUGGUAUGAUAAGAAAGUAAAGGCUAAGGAGUUUGCUGAUGGAGACUUGGUAUAGAAAUUGAUCUUACCGAUCGGGACUAAAAGUUCAAAAUUUGGGAAGUGGUCUCCCAAUUGGGAAGGUCCUUAUCGGAUAAGUCGAUCGGCUCCUGGUAAUGCCUAUAUCUUAGAAACUCUCGAAGGAGUUGAAUUUCCCAGAGCAUUAAAUGACAAAUAUCUAAAGAAGUACUACCCCAGCAUAUGGGUCGAUGCAUGAAAGUUUAGGUGCCGAUAACAUUCCUAUCGGCUGGAUCAAAAUGUAUCUGGGGGUAAAACUCAGUGUUUUAAAAGGUGCCGAUAACAAUCCUAUCGGCUAGACCAAAUACUAGGAAAGCUGGGAAGCAGAGAGGAGCAAGUAUGUUGCCGAUGAAGAGCUCACAUGUUUAGCAGCGCCUGGAUGGCCGAUAUAGCGCGCAGACGGAUUUGGUUGGCUGCUUCUAUCUCUUUGAUGUCUUCAUCGACAGAACCUUCCACCGGCUUCAACUUCUUCUUCAGCUGCAGUGCUUUAUGGCCAUGGAUGUUUCGCUCUUGCUCAAGGAGUUUCAUUGCCUCGGGCAGCUAGUUUUCCUCUUGCUGGGCUUGGGACAAGGCUUCUUCCACUUGCUUGAGCUCUGCCAACAGAGCUUCUCUUUUUGCUGACAGAUCAGUGAUCUUGUGCUUCAGUGCAUCUCCUGAGGACUUCAAGGUGUCGAUGUUCUUAUGCUUCUCCUCGGCAAGGAGCUUUACUUUCAUCAUCUCUUCGGACAGCUGGGCAUGAGCAGCUCUGUCGGCGAGACGUUGGGCCCUCUGGUACUGCAGCUGACGGCUCUCCAGAUGUGCAGCUUGAAAGAGGAUUUCUUCAACAUCGGUAGGAAUUUGGCCUCUGAGGGUCUUGAACAAGGCCUUGGCAGGGUCGGAGUUGUCGACCAGUUGGGCUGUUUCCUGGUGAAGAAGGGCCGACAAUUCUUCCAAUUUUGCCCUAAUUUCCGCCGAUGUGAUCCCAACUGCCCGAGAAGAGCUUGCUUCUUCGCCUUCGUCUUCAGAGAUGUCGAUGGCAAAGGAAAACAAGCUAUCGGGAGAGUCCUGUUCCUGAAAGAGAAAUAGAGUGAGUUAUUCCAUGGUCAAAUAUUGACAAAUAAUACUGAUGGAUUGGAUGGCGUACUUGUUUCAAGGCAAUUUCUCGCCUUUGACUGGAAGAUGCCGGUAGUACUAUAGGCUGAUCGGCUGGGGUUGCCGAUGGGACUAUGUCAGCUGAAAAAUUAGUAGAAAUAAUUAUGAGAUCAGGAAAGUGGAUUCAUCGGUAAUGACUUUGUAAAGAUGUAUUACCUUGAGGAGGUGCAGUACUUGUCUGGAUCGAGGAAACUACCGAUGAUAUGAUUGAGCCUGCUGGAUCGGUAGUCUGCUCGCCCACAUCGGCCGAUGUGUCUUCAAGCUGAGGUACUUCUAAUUGAGUUCCUGCUGGUUGGGUUUCUUCCACUUGGGGUGCUUCUUGUAGAUGAGGGGGAGAUGGUGCUUGUUGCGUCUGGGCUUCCGGAGAAGAAGGGGAAGAUUCCACUAUGAUUGCUGACACUGGGGGAGGAGAAGGUGUUGCUACCCUUUGGCGCUUUGUUUGUGCUCUGGUACUCUUGGCACCCUUUCUCUUCGGCUAACUAGACUGGGGGGCAUCAGCACCUGUGCUUCUGGUUCUUGCUGAUGUGCCGGUGUGCUGAUACAGAAAGGGAAAUUUGUGAAUACAAGUGCAACAGAUGUAAGAACGAGAUCGGUAUGAAAGAGGAUGAAAAUUUACCUUGAAAGCCUGUGCCAAAGUGGAGGCAGCUACCGAUGGAGAUGUCUUGGUCCUCUUGGUGGUUACUUUCUUGAGGCGUACACCUCGAUGCAUGAUGGCAGCCAGAGUGGGAGCGUUGUUGCCGAUUGAAGAGAUCGGACCUGAUGGGAACGGAUCAAUUGGCUUGCCACUCCUGCUGACCGAUGGGGGAGUGUCAUCAACCUGCAACAUGACACAAAGAGUAAGUUACCGAUGAAAAUGAGAAUAAAAGGAUUAGCACAUCAGUUUGGAGGUACUUACAGUAUCGUCGGGGAUUUUAUACUGAGGAUCGAUCAUGCCACGGUACGUGAGGGCCGAUCUGCAAAACAAGUGCUCCUUCCACUCCUCCCACCAUUGCUUGUAUGCCUGAGUAAUGAAGAGGGCUGGAACCCACUCUGAUAGAUCUACAUUUGUAUCGGCAUUCGGUGAAAGCUGGGCUACUCGGAUCCACUAGAGGAGGUUAGUGAUGAAUUCCCUGGGUUUUAUCACAUCGGCAUAACAGAGUGCAAUCGGCAGCUGGCCGAAAGCUAGUUGACGGGCUAGUGCCGAUGGAUUGUAAAACUCAUAGGUUUGGUUGGAGGUUUUCCCACUGCCGAAGAAGUUCACUGGUAUAACUCUGGGGGUGAUCACUGCCAUCAUCACUUCGUUAUCCUUGUUAAGAGCAUUAUUGAAUGGAUGGAAGACCAAAGGAAACAUGGUGUCUAGAUCUUCAUAGGGCAUCCAUGCUCGCUGUUCUCUGGUCAGGCCUUCAUAUAGGGUUUGGAAGAAUCGGCUGACCUGGUCUGCAUUGCCCCCUGUACCAGGCAGAACUAUGGCAGCCUCGCCAAAGUUUAGAGGAGGGCGAGUUGCCGAUUCUUCCUCAUCCAGUUCAUAUUCCUCAGCUAUAUCCCUGGGGAAGCGCUGUGCGAAGAGGUCAAACUCAAGACGCUUGUGCAUGUGGAGGCUGAGCCACAUGUUGAUAAACCACCAGGGACCCCCCAAGUUGCCGAUGGACUCGCCGAGUAGGAGUUUCCUGGUUACUUGGUGAAGGAGGUGAUAGGCUGCGCCAAGCAGGUAUCGGCCGAGGGGAAAUCGGCCACUGUUGGCUAAUCUUUCUGCUGCUGAUAGGUACACGGAAGUUGGUCCUGUCGAUCGACCACAGAAUACAAAUUUGUCCAACCACAUGUUUAGGAAACUAGUCUGUUCCUUUAUGUUAAUAGGGCCUACUUGUUUGUAUUUUUGGAUGUAUCCUGACCAACCGCCGAUGGAGCGAGUUUCUACCUUGGCACUGGGUUUGGUAUCAAAAAGUGGGUGCUAUCAGCAGAAGAUACAUCCAGGCCGGUGAGCAUAACCACAUCGGCAAGUGUGGGGGAAGCAGGGCCGUGGCCGAAGACAAAGGCAUUGAGCGUGUCUGACCAGAAAUAUGAUGCAGCUAUCAACAGCGACUCAUUCCUGUGCAUGUCGGCAAUGGACAGCCUGAUGCAUUGGUCCAGUUUUCUCUCACCCCAUUGGACUUCAUUUGAGUGGCUGACUCUUAAAAACCAAUCCUUCCAUCCCACGGUAGGACUGGGCCAGGAACGGAAGGUAUCCUUCCACAGAUCUAGAGAGAAAUUCUCGGCUCUAAAGGGGAUUUUGUUUGUUUCUGCGUUGAUAAGAUCAGUGGGAUCUGGAUCCCCUAACGGACCAAGACAUUGAAGAUGGGGCUGAUCGGUAGGGAUGGCAAUUUUGUUGGACAGAUCCUAAUAGUUUUAGGGGUAAAAAGAAGAACAAGAACAAAAAGAGAAAAAGGAGGAUGCUCAAUAAAUAAAUCGCAGAUGAGCCAGGACAUGGUAAAAAUACAUGAGAUGGGGUGAUGAACUAACCUCAUGGAUGGUGAAGUUGAUGGCCAUUUUCCUCGCAAGGAAGAAGAUUGAAGACUUCAAGAUUGGUGGAGAAAGGCCUUCGCUGGAGUUCUUGGAGCUCUUGGAUAGUGCCGCCGCCAGAGAAGCAGAGUUGGGGCUGUAGAAUGAUGUGAUGGAGAAGGAGUACCCGAGAAGGAACUAUUUAUAGGAUGAAACGGGCAAGGGUAAAUCUGACUUAUCACUUCGCCGUAUCCAUGAAAUCCGAGGAUACUCAGGAAGAUAUGGUAACUGUUCGCACGGUAAUCAAGGGAUUGCGAGGUGAUUUGACAGGAAGCGGUCGUGAUCCGGAGAUAUUUUACUGUGCGAGAUUUCCUAGUUUGUCCAUCGGCAGCGCUUUGUAACGGUAAUAUUGCCGAUGGACGGAUAAAGUGGAGAGAUCCGUUGGGGAGGAUAAGACACAUCACUGUACGGGAUGUCCUGGUCAGUCCAUCGGCAACUCUUUGUAACGGUCACAUUGCAGAUGGGCGAUUGAUGUGGAGGUGUCCGUUUAGGAGGUUGAGAAUUUCGAGGAAUCUACGGAGGAAUAGGAUCAGAGUUGUUCAAAUUGAGGUUGUCGGUUACCAAAUUGGGAGCAUUAAUUGUGGAAAGGCAUCAUUACUGCAGAGAAUUUCGAAGCAUUAAUGAUUCCAUACUCCGAAAUUGGGGGGCAUGUGUUGGCACCGUUUUUGGACACGUAUCCAGGAUCGGUAGGAUGUAGUUCAGCAAGAUAGGGUGGCAAUGCUUGGUCUGCGAAAGAUGUUGCCGAUGAAGAUGGUUGCCGAUGAAGGGAUGACCGAAUAUGACUAAGUCCAUAGGUGGCGAUGUGUUUCUGCCGAUGGCUACGAUGAGGGGGUCUGCCGAUGACGCGGAAGGAGGACCUAGAGGUCGCCGAUUGGCCGGUGGAUCGGCCUUUGGAGGUGUCCCGGUUUGUCACGGGAAGAUAGUUUUAUGUUUUCUUUAGUUAGUUAAAUCAUAAUGUACACGGAUUCUGUUUAAAUUUGGAAUUCGAAUUCUAGUCGUGUCUGGUUGUAGCUCUUUGGGCAGGGUAUAAAUGUAAACCCUAGGGCUUUGUAAGCAAUCUAUCAAUCAAUAAAACACACAAUUUUACUCAUAUUUUAGUAUCUACUUUUUCGACGACUUCGUCAUACUUUUUCCUUUUUAUUACGAGUUCUUAGGAAUUCGUCGACUUAAGCUCGGCGUAUUCUCAAGUUCCGCGAGAAUACCUCUUGGCCGUGGCAUCCGGGCGCAUCGCUGUUGUCAGGACCAAAGUAUUCGAGUUACCACCUUUGCCGAUAGUAAGGUCAAAUCGGCUGGCACGCCUUAACGUUUAAAUCGGGUAUUAGCCCUUUGUGUUUGCAGAUCAGCUUUUGCAUCAACAAAUAGGAACCAGGACAUUCUCUAAGAGAACCAUUAUUGCAAGGAUUUGAAUUAUCCCUACUUGAAGGUCUCUUAUGGAUCCAGAAGUCUAAACCAUCAGUAUCUGAAAGAUUUAAGGUCGGAAUUCCUUCCUCCCUUGGAGAAUUUUGGGGUAUUGAUGGUUUAUGAUCGAUAGCUAAAGUUUGGGAUUGAAGUGGUUGCGGUCUGGCUAUCGAAACUUCUUCUGCUCUCAGGGAUAUAAAAGCUAGGAGACUUUCCGCUCAUUAAAUCAAUCAAAUUCCAAGCUUUACUAGCGGAUAGGUGGUGGAAAGAUCCUCCGGAGGCUGUAUUCAAUGUUUGCUUAUUUUCCAUACUAAGGCCCUCAAAAAAGUGAAUUAGAAGAACUUCUUGUGGAAUAGAAAGCUUUGGGCUAGUGAGAGUAAGGUUAAUAAAGCGGUCCCAUGAUUUGCCAAGAGAUUCUUCUUCCAGUUGUCUAAAAGAAAUAAUCUCACGCCGAAGUUUCGCCACUUUAGAGAUUGGAAAAUAUUUAAAAAGAAAACUAUUAUAUAACUCCUUCCAAUCUCCAUGAACACUCCCUACUUUGAGCUUAUACCAAUGUCUAGCUUUUCCUGUUAAAGAGAACGGAAAGAGCUUCCAUUUAAGGGUCUCAUCGGACAUGCCUUCCAUGUGAAGGAGGUCACAGACUCGAUAAAACUCUCUUAGGUGCGUGUAUGGGUUUUCCUCACCUUCUCCUGAGAAAGGUUGUUUUUGAAUAAAUUAUAUGUAUUCGGGGUCUAUCUCAAAACUAGAUGCUAUGAUAGGCUUUGAAGAUUUUGGUGGUUCGAGAUGUGUGCCCGUAGGUCUAUGAAAUUCAUAGAUAGACAUUCUUGAAUUCAUGAUAGACCAGAGAUCAAGGAUUAGAUAAGAAGUAAGAAUAGCAGAGAUAAGGCAAAAGAUAAAAGGAAAAGUAUAAAUAUAUAUUUUUUUUAUUUUUUAGAAAAUGAUUAAGCUAGUUCGUAGUCAACUCAGCAACCGUUUCCCCGGCAACGGCGCCAAAAAUGCUUGUUGACACUUGCUAACACCACUUGAAUACUAGGUUGUCAUCCCCAGCAUGGCACUAGAGUGUACUAUGGUAUUUAUACACACACAGAUAAUCCGCAAGCGCACGGAUACCAUUAAAGCUUUUACCUGGUUAAAGGUUUUAUCGUAUCCACAGGGAAACAGGAGAACCAACUACGCUCUAACUUAACCAAGAUAGAUAGAUAAGUGUAAAUAGGAAAGAUGGUAGAAUUGAAUAAGAACAAUAUUAAAGGUAAGAUAACAAUGGGUAUAAUAGGGGAAUAGAGAGUUGAGCAAUCUAGUAUAUGGGCUAUGGUAGCAGAAUAGAGAGGAUAACUAUGGUUUCUCUACUUCAAAGGGGUAUGUCUAUGUCUGGAACGAACCAUGUGAUAAGAGUACACCACAAAGGAUGCUUAUCCUUAGGCCGAUAAACCCUACCCGUCCUGCUAACGAGAGGUGGACUACAGAGGACCAACGUAACUGUCACCUACGCGGCCUACCACACGAUCCAGCUAGACAGGGGAUAUCCACAAGUAAUCUAGGUCUAAGCACCACGCUUACACCUAUACUACAACUCUAACCUAUAGGGUCCUAUAGAUUAGAAGUACUCAAAAGAGUUGUGAACCAGAACAUACAUGAUUAGUAAUUGCAUAAUGAAUUAGAAGUAGAUUACCAGAGUCAUCCCAUGAGCAAGCUUGAUUAGAGCUUGAUCAUGACGAAGUACAACCGGAGGAAGAACCGACAGGCCAGCCUCUCCUCUAAUCCUCCUUCGCUCUCCAUCUCGCUACUAUCUAGAUCUACUCUAGUUUAGAGAAGAGAGGAGAGCUCUCAUCUCUAAACCCUAGCUUUUGCUCUGUCUAUGAAUAAUGAAUAAUGAUCAAGGGGUGCCUCCUCCAGGGGCCAGGGGGUCUGCUUAUAUAGUCCCCUCAAGUGAACCUGGGCCGUCGGAUCAAACCGACAUUGAUUGAACGGUUAUUCUUGAUCCUUUAGGUCGGUGGAGCAUAAUCCGCGAGAUUGAGCGUGAUUGGUUGAAACUCCAGGGCGGGCGCCCAAGGGGGGAGGACGGGCGCCCUGCCCCUGGGCCCGUUCGGCCUCCCGUUCGUUCCCGUGGCUUCUGGAGUCUUCUAGAUGAUAGAAAAUUGCGCGGCACGUUAAUAUCUCUGUGUAAACCCGACGUGUGGGCCUUCUCUCCAUAUUUCCUGAUAACCCCCUACAGAAAUAGACAAACACCAAAACUCGUGGAAUUCUGUCAGAUAAAAUCCUAAGUUUAGAUGCUGGUUGUAUUUGGAUCCUUUUCUUUAUUUAUUUGAUGAUUAAAUUUGGUACUUAAGGACCGUCAAAAGCAUCUUUUUAGUCUUUUUAUUUUUCUAGAGAUUAACACUUGGCAGAUAAAUAAAGCAUACUUAUCUACACACUCUUUUUAUUUUGUUUUCAUGUUCAUAGAAUGUAGUAAAUUAAAGCAAGAAAAUAUUUAUUGGGUUUUUUUGAAAUAAAUAAAACACUAAAAUAGAAAAGAAUAAAUAAGAGGAGCAAAUAAAAGCUUACUUGAUAAAACGGGGAAGAACUCCCCCAAGCUGGAUGUGGUUGUCGGUCUUACCCAAUGUUCCAGAAUCGCAUUAUGGCAGAGAUGUUGUCGCUCAUUGAAGUAGUGUCUUGCCUCAGUCCUUGUACUGCAGCGGUGUGGUCCUGGUUCCACUUUUGUUGCUGUUCCAGGAGUCGUCCAUGUUCUGCUUGCAUAUUCUGGAUGCCGAGGAGGGUGUUGUCGAUACGAGUGAUGAAGGCGCCGGCCUCUUGGCAGUAGUCGUUCGUGAAAGCAUUAGAGGCGUCGGAGUACCGUCCUGCAUCGAAUUAGGGCUGGGGCCUAGACCCUGAUGCUCUAUAUGGAUCAGUGGAGUACCUGCCCGUACUAAAAGGUGGGUUUGCCCACUGGUGAUCUUGGCCCUCCGGCCACAUCUCCUAUGUUGGCUCCUGCGGCUGAGCAUGUCAAACCCAUGGGUCCCGAAGGACUCGGGGGUUGUAGUCGCGGUAAUGCAGGUGCGCUGCUUCCUCUGGCCCGGGAUCAGCUCCAUACCAGGUGCGUUUGUUGAUAUUUGGGAACGCAAUAAGGAAUUGAUCCGCAAGCGCACGGAUAUCGGUGAGCACUUCACCCGGGAUGUUAUCCAGAGUAUCGUAUUUAUAUUUUUACCACUAGGAGAAAGAGUGCAUCUGACUAACCCAGUCUAUUACUACUAACCUUUAGGCUACAAAGAAUGUUUCUCGAUGUGAGUGAUAUAUAGAGAAGACUACAACCGUAAUCUCUUUCUAACCUUGGUAAAGAUAAUCUACUGUUCUAUUGGGGAAGCUUACGGAAUCUAGACACCAUAGAGGAUGUUCAACCCACACCUAUAAACCCUAUCCUUCCUGCUAAUGAGAUAUGGUCUGCAAAGGUAACUCAGAAAUGUCACGUUCCUCGCUACUACCACGGUCCAGGUAGUAAGGGAAUAUCUAUGAGUAUCCUAGCCCAAACACCACGUCUACGCUAGAGAUGAUUACUCUAAACUCUACGCGAAGAGAUUAAGUAAACUCAUAAACCAAAGAACAGUAAAAAAAGAACUUACAAGAAUUUAGAAUUCAAAAUACUGAAGAAUCCUAGGAACAAGCUUCGGGUUAGGAGAACUUGAUCCCACAGGUACAACCUCGGAGUAGACACCGACAGGCCGGGCUUCCUCCGAUCUACAGCUCCACUCUAUCUCCCUCAAUCUAGUAGAACUCAGAAGAACUAAUUCUACUCACAUUGGAAGCUAAGCCCUAAGUCUAUUUAGAGGAGAGUUUAUCCUUCGAGGGCUCCUCUCAACUCUAUGAUGAACUUGUUCUCCUCCAGGGGCCAGGGGGUCUGCUUAUAUAGUCCCCUCAGGUGAACGUGGGCCGUUGGAUCAAACCGACAUUGAUUGAACGGGUAUCCUUGAUCCUUUAGGUCGGUGGAGCAUGAUCCGCGAAGUUGGACGGGAUUGGUUACAACUCUGGGGCAGGCGCCCUAGGGGGGAGGGCGGGCGCCCUGCCCUCAGGCCCGAUCACCUUCCCGUUUGUUCCCGUGGCUUCUGGAGUCUUCUACAUGGUAGAAAAUUGCGUGGUGCGUUGAUAUCAAUAUGUAAUCCCGACAUGUGGGCCUUUUUCCUUGUUUCCUGGUAACCCCCUGCAGAAAUAGAAAAACAACAAAACUCAUGGAAUUCUGUCAGAUCAAACCCUAAUUCUAGGUGUUGUUUGCAUAUUGGUCCUUUCUCUUGUUUAUUUCAUAAUUAAAAUUGAUACUUAAGAACCGUCAACAGCGUUCUUGAUGGGUGGUCAUCCUUUUGGAUGCCACUCGCUAUGGAGCUCUCUGGUUUACCGGUGCCACUGCAAUCUCAAUCAAAUAAUUUUGAACGACAUAGAGGCUAAGGUUCGGGUUAGGUAACUGAAUCUUGCCUUUAUUAUCGUAUAACAUAUACAUUACGUUCCCCUCUUUUUUCUGCAUCCGAGCUUGCCUAAAUGUGUCAUAGCCAUGAUAAAUUUGUAACUCGUCAAUGAAUUCCAAUGACGAGUUUUCUACCAAAUGAAGACUAGAAGCUAGAAGAGUGAUGAGCGAAGUACAACUGACAGGUCCUUGAAGACUAGGUAUACUAAGCCAAUGAGAAACCAAAAGAGUAACAGGUGAAAUGGGUAUUUUAUUUAUAGCAGCAUAAAGAAGUUGUAAGUCUCCUACUCUUACUUUUCUAAUAUCAUCAUGAUGGAAAAGAUUGUACCCGAGCCAUUUGUGGAACAUCCUAAGAGUGGGGUGUUCCAUGUCGCUGAUUCGGGCUUGACUAUAAAACUCAUCUCUAGAUAUCUCUCUCUAGAACUGGUGUCUCUCAAAAUUGGGCAAGUCGGAGUCAAUGUCCAGUAUGCAUCUUGAAGAGAAACCGAGAUGGUCGCUCAAUUUUCUCCAAGACAACAUAAUGUCCUGUUUGAACAUCCAAAAAGUGAUUCCCCCCUCAUAAUAUUGCAAAGUGCAAAGAAAUUCAAGGGUGAGAAGAUGGGAACCCAGCUCAGUUAUGUCCCAAAAGUUUGUCCAUCCCACCAUCUAGAAAAUCAAGUCAAAUUCGGUAUCCAUACAUGUUUCUUGUAGCAACAUAGGAUCAAGAGUGGGGGUGUGAAUGAAAUCCUUGUUCUUCAGCUGCUGGAAAACUUCCUUCUCCCUGCGGGUCUUCAGUCCAAGGUCUCCUGUCUUAAGGAGAACCUUGACUCGUGUACCUGACGAAGACGAUGGAGCUUGCGGGGGCGUCGGGUCGACGCUCAUCUCCGAUUGGUGCGAAGAGAGUCGGGAUGAACUCCUCGUACCUAUGUUCUUCAGGUCCUUGCCCGUGUUCUUCACCUUCUUGAACAUCCUGCAGAAAGUCGACACAAACACAACUAGUGGAAAAUGUUAAAGGCAGUUGUCCGAAAUGUCAGUAGUCCAGGGGUUAGUCGUCCCAGACAAGUUUUUAUUUUGGCAGCACCUCCCCCUAAGCAACUUUUAAUUCCACUUUGGACAGCAGGAUCACUACUUAAUAAUGAACCUUGCUUUCUUACUCCCAGGCUUCCAAACUCACUUUCACUCUUCUCUUCCCCUCUACUCUCCUUCUCAAUUUACUACUAGAGCUCCUCAGCGAACUGAAGUGUGCGUGGGUUUUCUGGAAUGCUUGUGUGAUGGAGAUGGAGGCAGGAGGUGGCGAUUUAUAGGAGGAAGGGGGGAUAGGGUGGGCGCCCUCUACAGGUGGGCGGGCGCCCACCUUUGGUGGCCAUCCUGGCUGCCCUUUCUCUACUCCCUCCUUUGCUUAGUCUUUACGCCAAAAAAUGACUCAUGGGUGGUGGUUGGUCGGUGGAAAAAUGCUGGUGAGUGGAAACAUGUUUGUGGAUCACAUAAUGUGAUGGGAUAUGUGUGAGGUGCGGUGUAUGAUAUGUGGGACCCAAGGAGUGUGGGUCAUGCUUCUAGAAGGUUGCUAUAAUGGAGGAAAAACUAUGAGAAUUUGAAACUUAUUGAAAAUGAGCAUGGAAAAAUAUUUUUGUGCCUCCACAAUAAUUAAUAAAUGUGGAUUGUCACACACCAUAAAUAUUAUUUAUAUGGGGCUUUUGAUUAUUAUAAUAAUGCUAUGAAUAAAUAUGACUAACACAAGAAUUAAUUAUGCAAGAAUUUAAACGAUGUGGAUAAAUACCGAUUUACCUCCCGGCGAGGGUUUGGGAUUUUUAGGUCUCCCAAGCUGGACCUCCAAAUCUUUUAAUCUUCUGAAUUACCUUCCCCCUGCUUGAAUGUGAAGUGUUCUUGUCCAUUUAUGUUGAACUUGAUUUCUCCCUUCCCGACAUCAAUGUGGGCAUUGGCAGUGCUUGGAAAUGGCCUUCCAAGGAUGAUGGACACUUUUGAGUUGGGACUCAUGUCCAGUACCACGAAGUCUACUAGCACAAGGAAAUCUCUUAUCUUGACUGGGAUGUUUUUAGCGAUGCCCAUCGGGUGUCGAACUGAUUGAUCUCCUAGUCGCAGGCACAUUGAUGUUGGUUCUAGGGUCGUAUGCUCAAGCUUCUUGUAGACUGAUGCUGGCAUCACACUGACACUUGCUUCGAGAUCACAAAGUGCAUUGUUGAAGUGUUGGUUUUCGAUCGAGCAAUCAAUGGUGGGACAUCCUAGAUCCUUCUUCUUCCUUGGUGGUUUGUUGAGCAUGGCCGCACUACAUUCUUCUAUCAGCUUGAUAACCUCAGUGGUGGGCAGUGGUCUCUUCUUGUCAAGAAUAUCUCUGAUGUACUUUGCAUAUGUGGGUACCUGUAUGGCAUCAAGUAGAGGUAUGUUGACAUAUAAUUUUUGAAUGACCUCUACAAACUUACCAAACUGCACAUCCGACUACAGUCCUGUGUUUCUUCGAGGAAAUGGCAAAUAGUUGGUGUCGUGAAAAUCUUUCCUCCUUUCUCCAGCUCUUGGUGGUUGUAGCAGAUCUUCUGCUUCAACUGGGCUUUCUUCUUCUAUCACUGCUGGUUGCACUGGUGCUGAUGUUCUCUGUUUCUCUUUUGGGUAUGGGGGAUCCCUGGUGGCUUUGCCUCCUCUAGUAGUUAUGUUCUUUACCUGCUCAAUGUUAGUGGCAACAAGCAAUGCAGCAGCUAGCUUUAUUAAUUUAAGCUCUACCCUUUUAUUAAGAGUGUUUUGCUCAUCAAAGGCGGUUAAUAGAAAAUCCAUUUUAUUGUGUAUAUCUUUUAGAGAUGAUUCAUUUGUAUCUAACCUUUGUUUAACUUCAUCAUUAGUUUUGGUUUGUUGAGCAAUUAUCUCUUUCAAUGAAAGUUGCUUGAAAGUGUUACCUGAAUUCAUACCUUUGCUAUUGGGUUGACUCGAAGUGGGUUGAUAUUUGUAUACUGUCUCAAUGGCCCUUUGAUCUUCUUUGAACUUGGCCCUCUGGUCAAUCCAAUGGAGCAAAUUUUCCAUCUUGGUUGAUAGAGCAUUCACUUCUUCUAGUAUUUCUUCAGUUUGAUGACAAUGCUGAGCUUUAUAUUGGAACCAGCUUUGAUUUUCUGAUAUCUUAUCCAAAAGCAUCUCUGCUUUUCUGAUUGUAAGCUCCAAGAAUGAUCCUUUAGCAGAUGCAUCUAGGCACUCACAAGCCUUCUAGGUUAAUACAUGGUAGAAGGUCUGCAUAAGUAACCAUCUGGCCAUUCCAUGGUGAGAACAAUCUGAUAUGUAUCCUUGAAAAUGCUCCAAGGCUUCUGAAAUGGUUUCUGUCUUCUACUGUUGGAAACUGAUAAUAUUUCCUCUUAAGGCAGCUGUUUUGCCUAUAGGAAAAAACUUUGAUAGAAAGUCAACUGACAAGUUUGUCUAGUUGUUGAUGUUAUCUUGAUGGGUGUAGAACCUUCCUCGCUUUCCCUUCUAGUGAGAAUGGAAAGAGGCAAAGCAGUAUGACGUCUUUGUCGACUCUGUUGAUGCGGAUUGUGCUUCCAAUUUCUAAGAAAUUCUGCAAGUGUGCACUAGCAUCUUCAUGUGCCUUUCCACUGAAUUGUGUAGCUUGCACCAAAUUGAUGAGGCUUAACUUGAGCUCGAACUCGGGUGCUCCUUCUUCUACUUCAAAUCUUGGACCAGUUGGAAUGUUCUCAAGUCUUGGAGCAGAGAAUUCUUGCAAGGUCUUUUGUGCCAUAGCUUCAGCAAUUGGUAGCUAGCUUCUUCUUUCUUUCUUGAUUGCUUUUGUUCUGAUGAUGAAGAGUUGAAUGUACCAAAGUCAAUCCUGAUAUACCCUGUAUAAAAAUAUAAACAUAGAUAAACAAAAGGGUGAACCUGCCAAAGCAGAGGUGCCUUGUUAUGAUUUCUCAUUAAGUAGCUGUUUAUGCAAUUAUUUCUCCAUAGUCUAGUCUAAUAUUUUAUGUGAAUAACCUUGACUGACUUCCUGACUUUCCUUACCGCUCCCCGUCAACGGCGCCAGAAAUGCUUGUUGACACUUGCUAACACCACUUGAAUACUAGGUUGUCAUCCCCAGCAUGGCACUAGAGUGUACUAAGGUAUUUAUGAAUAUGAAGGCUCUCUAGAAAAUAAUCUAUUAUAUCCGCAAGCGCACAGAUAAAAUACCUCAUUGUAGCAUUUCACCGGGAAAAGUAUCCCGGGUAUCGUUAGUUAUAUUUUGCUUAAGAGAACGGUGAAAGUGAAAGCAGGGGUAAAAUCUAUCAAGGCAUAGACUAGAGAUAAACUUGCAAUAACAUGAUUACUAACGAGAAACUCAUCACACAGUCACUUGCUUUAGCAGGGAGUAAGCCAUAAAGAUAAUGAAAAAUAAGCUCAUGGGUAAAUAACACAGCGAUUAGAAAUAGACUACUCCACAUAAAUGUAAGGUGACGUCGGAUUAGCUAGAGAAUGGAUUCUGAGUAUCUACUAUCUACUAAGUCACAAUCUACUCUAGUUAUCUACAAGAUCAUAUAUAGCACAAAAGACUCUUUAUUCAUGUAUAAGGAACAUUGCUAAAGUAAAUCAGAACAUAGCAAGACUUAUUCCGCAUACAAAUUCUGUCUGUCCUAUCAACGGAGGGUGGACUAUAAAAGAAUCAACGAAGCUGUUACCAUCACGAACUACCACAUGACCCGACCAAUAGGAUACAUUUGCAGGUAAAUAAUAUCUAAGCACCACGCCCACAUAUGAUCAACCACUUAGCUCCAUCGAGUCAAGAGCUAAGCGCUUUGCAAACUUAUACAUGAACUCAUUAUCAAUCAUAACUAUAUCAAAUAUAGAACUAGGGCAAACUAAGAACAUAAUAAAUAGAGACAUAAUGCAAUUAGAAUAAAGUAGUAGAGAAAGAUAUGAAAUAAUACCAAAAUCUAGAGCGCUAGGCUCUACUUCUCUAAUUCUAUCUAAUCAAUCCUAUAGAACUUGAAGGAUUUGGGAGUAGCUAGUUCUAAUUCUCUGCGGGAGAGAAGUUCUAAAACCAUAACUUUGAUGGCUUCCUCUGAUAAUGAUUUCUCCUCUUCCCUUGGGGUGGAGAGGCCAUGCUUAUAUAGCCCCCUCAAAUGAAUGUGAGCCGUCGGAUCAAACCGACAUUAAUCGCACGGUUAUUCUUGAAGAUUAUAGGCGGUGGAGCACGAUCCGCGAGACCUGUCCUGAUUGGUCACUAGGGCAGGGCGGGCGCCCAAGGGGGGAGGGUGGGCGCCCUGCCCCUGGGCCCGCUCGGCCUCCCAUUCGUUCCCGUAGCUUAUGGACUCUUCUUGCUUGAGGAAAAUUGCCGCACACGUAAUUAUCUCAUUGUUAACCUGACGUGUGGGCCUUCUCUCCAUAUUUUCUGAUAACCCCCUAUAGAAAUAGACAAACACCAAAACUCGUGGAAUUCUGUCAGAUAAAACCCUAAUUCUAGAUGUUUGGUGCAUAUUGAUCCUUUUCCAUGUUUAGUUGACGGUUAAAUUUAGUACUUAAGGACCGUCAACAGUGACCCAUGCCUGCUCAAGUAGAUUUAUUUCUUUAUUCUUUAUUUAUUAUUUCUCUUCUAUUUUAUCCUUGAGGUUGAUCCAAUGUGUGUCCACUAUCUUGAAUAUCAUGUUUAUUCCUGUUUACUCUAUGUCUACCAAGCAUUCAAUAAGUAAUCAUGUUUACACCAUGUUUGAUCCCUUUGACUUCCUACGGGAAUUAUAAAUUCAACACCCUUGAAUACUCACGAGUUGAAAUGCUACAAUGAUAGUUCUAUCCGCUUGCAGUUAUAUUACUUCUUCAUUCAUGAACUACCGAUUGGCGUACCUAAGUAUCAUUACUUAAGAUUGUAAUCCUUGUGCACUUUCAAGCGUAGUGCCACAGCUUUGCAUAUUGCAAGUAAGGAUGGUUAGGACGGCCAAUCCGGCAUUCCUAAUUAUUGUUACCUAACUGCACUGCUAUGGCCGGCGCCCUCGAGUUGCCUUGGGUUAUCUCUCUGAUGUAGCGAUAGUUACGGUAUGCCAACACCCGACAUUUCUGAUGCUAUUGCUAAGGAUGGAUCUAUGGUCUAUUUUUAGUAGUGACGUUAAGAAAUGCCAACAAGCAUUUCUGGCGCCGUUGCUGGGGAAGGCAAAAAUCAUACUGGCAUAAACAUUGAUUACAUAAUAAGCAUUGGUAGCCAUAGAUUAAGUAGGAUAACUUUACUGUUUUCUUCCUCUUUUUAUUGGAAUGAAAACAGGAUAGUGUAUUAGUGGUUUCAACUUGCCGGCAAACUUCCACAGUGAUCCAGAAACACUCCUAAAGAAGAGAAGGGUUCGUACCGUCUCUUCUUCUGCUACGCAACCGGCACGCGAAUCAACCUUUCCAGCACCAACCGCACCAAUCGCUAUGGCCAAGCCACUCCAUGACUACUCCACUCCCGCUGUUGCCAACGUGCCGACUAGGCCCGUUGUCAAUAUGGGGAAUGGGAGCUUCAAGAUCCACACUGGCCUCAUCUCUAUGGUGCAGGCAAGCCAAUUAUGUGGCUUGCCAAGCGAGGAUGCCAACGCCCGCCUUUAGAACUUCCUUGAGCUGUGUGACACCGUUGUCAUCAAGGACGUCGCGCAGAACAGCAUCAGGCUCCAUCUGUUUCCCUUUUCCCUCGUCGGAAAGUCGAAACAAUGGUUUUAUUAGAACAAGGAAGCUGUUGACACAUGGGACAGCACUCCUCGCCAAGUUCUUCCCCAUGAGCAGGACCAGCGCUCUGAGGGGGAAGAUCUCUAACCUCCAGCAGUCUUCACUUGAGUCCAUACCCGAAGCAUGGGAGAGGCUCCAAGAGUACAUCCGGGCCUAUCCUCAUCAUGGAAUGGAAGACUGGCUUGUGCUCCAGAACUUCUAUGAAGGCCUCAUGGCCAUGUCAAAGGGGCACGUAGAUACCGCAGCUGGAGGUGCAUUCCUUUCUCUCACCAUUAACGAAGCUACUGCCCUCAUCGAGAAGAUGGUGGAAAAUCAAAGCUGGGGAGAAGGAAGGAAAACACAAAAAGGCUCGCAAUCUGCGAAUGAGACAGAUGUGCUUGCCGCAAAAAUAGACUUGCUGCUGCAAAGGAUGGACGGACAAGUUGCAAAUCCCAACAUGGGCACCGUCCAAGCAGUGAACUCACACACAUCGUGUGAAGUUUGUGGUGAUGAUGGCUAUUCGAGGAACAAUUGCCCCAAAACCCAAGAAGAAGUAGCAUAUGUCAACAAUGGGUUUCGUCCACCACAGCAAGGUAACAACGGGUGGAACAAUCAGCACCGCCCGCAGGGUAAUUUCUUCAAUCAGCCUUCCUUGAAAGAUCUGGUCCUAGGGCAAGCUAAAAUCAAUGAGAAUCUAACCAAGAAGCUGUCCUACAAAGACAAGAUCAUUGAGAACAUCAACGCCAAGCUUGAAACUCUUUUUUCAUCUGUCAAAAGUCAGACGAGUUUCAACAAGAUGAUAGAAACAUAGAUAGCACAGAUAGCUGCAUCAAUUCCAGUCACUGACACAGAGAGGAUCCCUGGGCAACCAGAAACCUCUACUGAGUUCAUGCAACCAUAGAAGAAUGAAGGAAGGAGAGUCUUGCCAACGGACUAUAAAUGUUGAGCCCUUGCCGAAGGCAUUCGGUAGUUAUCUAAAAAAACUAUAUAUAAUAAAAAUAAAUUUUGUGCUAUUUGUGUCCCAAUAAAGAUAUCUGAAGGGGGCCCACGACAUCAAGCAAGCUUGGGGGAGGUGUCCCCGCUCAGGUAAUAUGUCUUUCUAAAUUCAUUAAAUAUUGUUUUAAUUUCCCUUUUUAUAGAAAGUUUUUAUUUUUAGUUUCCAAAAGUUUCCCUUUCUAUAGUUUUAUUUUUAGUCAAAAAUAAAGUUUCUCUGAAAAUCUUAUAAAAAUUAUUUUCUGGUAGUAUAGAUUUCCCCAUUUCCAAAUCUUAUUUUUAUAUAAUUUUUGAAAACCAAAAAUAUUUUGAAUAAAUAUGUGGAAAAUCAAAAUCUGGAGCAAGAUUUCGAACCAAGUCUGAUCGUAACCAGAGAGACGUUUGGGGUGACCGUUGGAGCCAGCAGCCAAAAGGCCGAGCAGAGGCGGGCCCACCACUGGUGCGGGCGCACCCUGCCCAAGGCCUGCUGGCCUCGGCCUUUGCGCAACGGCUAGUAGCCGUUGAGGGGGGCGCUCCCCCGCAUGCAAUCAGCUCUAUAAAUAGAGAGGAUCCUGGGUGGAGCACCUCACCCCUCUCACACACAUUUUUUACUCUCCCCUUCUUCACUCUCUUGCUCCACUUUGCUUCAUUGCCUACUCCACAAGCUUAGUGCAAGAAAAUUCUAUAAAAAACCUCUUGCACACUUCCCUCUCCAAGCAAAAACACCAUACACUUGUGCUAGCUCGUCCACCAUGAAUAGAAUUUUCAGGCUUAGAAGGAGCCACCACCAACAUGGGGAAGAUCUACCAACCCCUGCAAGGAACGAGCAGCCGACACAUGGAGGAGAGGAGGAGGAGCCACACGGCCACGCCAUUGACGAGGCCGAUGCCCCCUUCAUCGACUUGGAGACCGAGCGGGAGAUGCAGGCAUACAACCUCAUGAAGGAACGCGAGUUCUUCCAUUCACCGGCAUUCGACCCCUCAUUCUUGCACCAAAAAGGUAUGGAUGUUGAGUUUGAUACUAUUUUUGAGCAUCUUGGUUGGAGUAGAGUUGCCCCCGUUCAUGAGCUUGGGUCACGUCUUUUGACGAUGCAAAUUUUGGGCACUCUACAAAUUGUCGAUUAUGGUAUUACCUUCCGUUGCUUUGGAAGAGAUUUUGGUAUUUAUUGGAAGGAUCUUACCAACCGUUUGGGUUUCCACGAGCGGUGCUCCAUUGACUUAGGUUUCUCCCUCGGGGUUACCAACGUCAUGCUUUCUGGCAUUUGAUCUCGGGGCAACGCGUCGUUGGAAAAUUUCAGGGGCAUUCUGCCAACAUCCAUCACCCCACUCUGAGGCUUCUCCAUAAGUGGAUCGCUAGUUCGUUCUUUUCAAGAGAUGAUACGCAUCUUACUUACGGCAUAGAGUUGAAGUUGCUUUAUGCUGCGCUCAAAAAUAUUAAGGUUGCACCUGUUGUUGAGCUUGUUAAUCAUUAGUUGCAUUCCAUUAAGACUUCAACUGGUAUCAUGUUCACAUCUCUUAUUACUCGCCUUGCUGCAAGUGUUGAUCCCCAUGCUGCUAAUACCAUUAUUUACAUCACUACUCCUCGCAUCAUGAUUAAUGAAUCACAUAUUUCGCAUGCACAUAUGAAUAAACGCGAUGAAACAGGUAAAAAGAUUUUAUAUUAUUUUCCGGGAUAUAUAAACGAGAUCUAGUUACCUAACCCAGAUCUCGCUCUGUAUAAUUCCCCGUCACUCACCUUCACCCUCAUUGAGAGGGAAGGAGGACGUAGGAGCUCUGUUUCUCGUAGGAACUCACAGAGGAGGGAACAAGAAGAGUAGGCAGCACAAGCAGCAAGGGCAACACAGGCAGCACAACCAGCACCAUCCGCGUUGCCAGCACAGCACACUCCACCACCAGCUAUGCCAGGGAUGGGAUGCACCCCUACUAUACCUGCACCCGGAUUUACCCCUGGGUAUGGAUAUGGUACGGGAUACGUUCCUCACCCCUACAAGGCUGGAGGUUCGAGCUAGUAGGUAGGAGGGUCGAGAUGGCACGCACACGGAGGCGCAGGCCCAAGCGAGCCAGAGGCAUAUGGGGUAGGGGGAUCCAGGCAUCACGAGCCAGGACACUCCUCAGAUUCCAAGGGAAUGCCACCCCCUAUUCGCCCUCACAUCACACUGGACGUCCUCAACACUCGCAUGGGAGGACUGGAGCUCCAGAACAGGCAGAUCCAAGGUACGCUGAAUGCCCACAUCCAGACUGCUACCCAAUGGCAUCAGCAGACCCAGCAGAGCUUUAUCGACCUUGAGGAUGCAAGUCGUCGCCGGCACGAGGCACAGAUGGCCUACCUGCGAUCCAUGGGACAUUUCCCUGGACCGCAGCAGUGAGCUAGCUUGGGGGAGGACCCCCACAAGAGAUAACAUGUAUCUUACACUCUUGCACUUAAGUUUAGUUCUUAAUUUCAGUAUUUAAAUUUCAGCAAUUUUUCAUCAUCUUUCAAAAAAAAUCCACUCUCAUGCACGCUAUGGUAUGUUAGUUUCUCUUCUGUUGAAAUGAUGAAUAGUUGCUCUAUAUAUAAUUCUCUAGUAUCUAAGUUAUAAUUUAGUGUUCAUCAAGAUUUAAGUUUCUUGGCUAAAAAUGUCUCAUUCUGAGAACUUGAAAUCUUGUGGGUUGCAAAUGCAUGAUCAUUUUCUAUGCCCAUGCGAGACAUGAUAUGGUAUAAAUAAUUUUUGAUAUGACUUUGUUCUAAGAGAAACUUGACAUCCAGAGUUUUCUUUUCAAAAAUUCAAAGCAAAGAGUUCCUCAAUGAUUAUGAAAUAUCUACCAAGGCCAUAUGACUUGCUUAGUAGUUUGUACACCUUUAGUCAUAUGCAGCUUGGUGCGCUUUGAGUUGAGUCGAAUCCCAGGUAUCCUAGAGUGAGAUUAUAGUCAUGCACCCAUGAUAUGAGAUUCACGCACCCACCAACUAAAGCCGACUCUCACACUGGGAAGUUGCGCACAACAUGCACCCUUCCAUCCACCAAAAAUAUGCCAACUCUUACCCUGAGAGUUGCACCUUAGAUUCCACCAAAUAAGUAUGCCAAACUCUCACCCUGAGGUUUGUGCAUCCCCAUACAAAAUUUUACUCCUUACAUCACCAUCAUGACAUCUCUCCAUUUUCCUCUUUGAGAUCCCUUUGAAACAUGUAGGCAUCAGUUAUCCAUGCCAAAGGGCAUGGACGGGAAAAUCAAAAUCCCCGUCAGAAAUAUAUAUAUAUAUAUAUAUAUAUAUAUACAUAAUUGAUCCAUAUUUUUUGGGCCCAUAUGUUUACAUUCUCUCAUUAUCAUCCUCACAUAAGGAGAGUCAUGACACAAGGAGUAACCAAAAAUAUGUAGAUAGGACUACCACCAAAAAUUCCACACACAUGCACAUCUCAAUCAAGGUGUAUGACUUGUAUCUCCUCAUGGUCCGGGCUUUGACUUGGCAACACAAGUGUCGUAAGUACGCCCACCUUUAUACCUUCCCAAAGCUCCAUUCUGAGCCUUAGUGGUAGGUCUUAAAGGCAAACACAAAUGCCUUGGGUGAGGAUUUCAUACACAUUGAGCGAUCGAGAGAAUCAUUCGAGGAACUUAUUUAUUUUGCAAAAAAUUAUAAAACCUCCGGAUUGAUGGUCUAUCAAGGGAUGAAUGAAUGGUGAGUCUGUUACAACCAUUCUAUCUUGCAUCCAAUCAAGAACUGGGAAAAGCUAUAAGCCCCAUGAGAAGUCAAGGUAAAGAGUGGAUAUCAUGCCAACUUAUUUAAAUUGUGAAUGAAUGCUUUGUUAUAGGUAUGACACUCUUGAAUUAUAUCGGCAUAGUAACAACUCCUGAUCAACAGCCAUACUUAAUUAUUUGCUAGAGAUGAGCAAAGGUUAAGCUUGGGGGAUUUGUUGGCAGUCAUUAUUGACCAAUUAUAAACUGCCAACUUGAUCCAAAGGGAGAAGAAGCAAUCAUAUUAUAUACACACAUGCAUUUUAUUCCUAUCAAGUUCCACUUGUACCAUAGUGAUUAUAUUUUGUAGGAAUUAUAGUGCAACAAGUGAAAAUGUGACAUACCACGAAGAAAGCGCAAAAUACCAAAAGACGUAUUCAGAAAUGCGCAAACCAAGAAAAUAAAGAAAGGCCCGAACAACGUAGAACUGGGCCCGAUCGUAACCACGGGAGAGAUCCAAGCCUAGAGCCAAACUGACCAUGCGAAGGCGAUGGCCAGGGGGACCCACCCAGGGUGCGGGCGCACCCCUGGAGGCGGUAAACCGGGCCCAUCUUUCUCACGCGGUUGCAUGCCGCCAUGCAUAGGACGGUUUCACCUACUACCAAAUUUACAUGCGACGAACCGUCCUAGUUCCAUUAUAAAAAGAGAUGCACUCCCCCCUUUUCAACACACACAUCAUUUGGAGUCAAUUUACCUAACACCUCUCACUUGUAUCUUUAGUCUAGAUUAGUAGUAGAGCAAGACAAGAGCUAGCAAGGAGAGCUUGUUGUUGACACUAGCUAACACCACUUAGAUACUAGGUUGUCAUCCCUAGCAUGGCGCCAGAGUGUACAAAGGUAUUUAUAAAUGUAAAGGCUCUCUAGAAAAUAAUCUAUUCUAUCCGCAAGCGCACAGAUAAAACACCUCAUUGUAGCAUUUCACCAGGAUAAGUAUUCCAGGUAUGGUUAUUUAUAAUUUUGCUUAGGGGAUCUAAAGAAGAUGGAAUUAAAUCAAGGGACAAAAUCUAUCAAGGCAUAGACUAGAGAUAAACUUACAAGAACAUGAUUACUAAUGAGAAACUCGUCACACAGUCACAUACUUUAGCAGGGGGUAAACCAUAAAGAUAAUGAUAAUAAAGUAUAAGUUCAUGGGAUAAAGAGCACAGCGAUUAGAAAAUAGACUACUCCUCAUAUAUGUAGGUGAUGUCGGAUUAGCUAGAGAAUGGAUUCUAAGUUAUCUACUAACUACUAAGUCAUAAUCUACUCUAGUUAUCUACAAGAUCAUAUAUAGCAUAAAAGACUCUUCAUUCAUGUAUAAGGAACAUUGAUAAAGUAAAUCAGAACAUCGCAUGACUUACUCCACAAUACCGGUUCUGCCUGUCCUAUCAACGGAGGGUGGACUAUAUAAGAAUCAACGAAGCUGUCACUAUCGCGAACUACCACACGACUCGGCCAAUAGGAUACAUUUGCAGAUAAAUAACAUCUAAGCACCACGCUCACAUGUAAUCUAUCACCUAACUCCCUCGCGUCAAGAGCUAAGCGCUUUGCAAACUUAUACAUAAACUCAUUAUCAAUUAGAACUAUAUCAAAUAUAGAACUAGAGCAAACUAAGAACAUAAUAAUUAGAGACAUAAUGCAAUUAGAACAAUAGAAUUAGAGAAAGAUAUGAAUAAUAACAAUCUUUAUUACCGAAGAUCCGAAUCCAGAGCGUAGUGCUCUACUUCUCUAAUUGCUAUCUAAUCAACCUCUAAACUUGAAGGAUUAGGGAGUAGCUAAUUCUAAUUCUCUGUGGGAGAGAAGCUCUAAACCCUAACUUUGAUGGCUACCUCUGAAUAAUGAUUUCUCCUCUCUCCUCCAGGGGCCAGGGGGUCUGGUUUUAUAGUCCCCUCAAGUGAACGUGAGCCAUUGGAUCAAACCGACAUAGAUUGUAUGGUUUAGAUUGAUCCUUUAGGUCGGUGGAGUCUUGCCCCGAAACAGAGUCCUGAUCCAACUCCUGGCCAGGGCGGGCGCCCAAGGGGGGUGGGCGGGCGCCCUGCCCCCGAGCCCGAAUUGCUUUCCGUUCGUUCCCGUGGCUUCUGGAUCCUUCUAGAUUGAGGAAAAUUGCACGGCACGUAAUUAUCUCGUUGUAAACAUGACAUGUGGGCCUUCUCUCCAUAUUUUCUGAUAAACCCCUGCAGAAAUAGAUAAACACCAAAACUCGUGGAAUUCUAUGAGAUAAAACCCUAAUUCUAGAUGUUUGUUUCAUAUUGAUCCUUUUUCAUGUUUAUUUGAUUAUUAAUUUUAGUACUUAAGGACCGUCAACAAACUCCCCCAAGCUUACCCUUUGCUCGUCCCUGAGCAAACAGCUAAACUCAUACGGAUCAGGAGUUGCUUCGAUGUUUUCUUUCCUGACAGGCACACAUGCUUUUACAUAAAAAUUCUUCCAGAUUAGAGUGAAGUGUUAUGGAGUUUAGUACCUGCACUUAAAUCUUAAGUAAUCGAAAGACAAAAUAGUUAAGUCAAGCACUAUCCCUCUUGUCUAUACUUCACCUUUGUUCCAGAGUUUUUCAUAAGUUUUCAAAAAUAAAACUCAGAGUUCCCAGCAAUGAUUCUCUCAAGUCUCUCUAUAUGUGGUAUUUGUGGAUCCUUACCAUGAUAUCACUUACCUAUAGCUAAUGGAAUAUUUAAGUGGAGCUCAUAGGAGUGAAAAACAGCUCAUACAUAUGUUGUCUAAUCGAGCCAUGGAUCCAAAGAAACUCAGCAUAUAAUUAAAUUAAGAUGUGCAUGUGUGAUGGAGUAAAUGAUAGUGAUGGUGAAGAUAUAUAAAUAAAACUUAGUUCUCAUUGUUCCUUAUAUUGCUAUCUCUCCUCUUCUUUGAUCUUUGCUUUUGGAGAACAUGGGCUAUCUUCUCUCUUUUUUUUCAGGUGGGUAGUAGAUACCCCUAAUUCUACUGUCGGACACUUGUCCAUUUUUUCCGCUCAAGUGGGCAUCUUUGUACCCCUAAUUCUACUUUGGACACUUGUCCAUUUUUACCUAUCGUCUCACUCUUUUUCUUUCUUUUUCGAGGUUCCGGGCACUUGCCCCUUUUUAUUUCCUCGUAUAUUUUUGCAUAACCCAUGCCUCUUCUGCAUUGAAUCUUUUUUUAGAGAGAGAGAGACAAUAACAAUAUUCGGGACAGUGAGUGAAAAUAUUUUUAGCAAUCUUUAAUGAUUGAUGAUGAAUGCUGUGGUAGAUGUGUGCAAGUGAAUAUCUUAAUUUAACCACAUGAAAAGCUCCUAAGGGUCUACACAGCUCGAUCAAACUCAAUGUGAAUAUAGUAAAAGAUGUUAUAGCAAGUAUGGCUGUGGUAGGUAGUUUUGUUAUGCUAGGAACUCAUCAUGUGAUUUGUAAGUUUUCAAAAUAAGUCUCUAGAACUUAGUGUAGUAGGAACAAGAUAAACAGUAGCUCAACUUUAUAUCAUGCCUUUCUCUUACCUAGGCUUUAGUUUUUAUGCUUCCCAAAGAUAGUAAUUUUAGUUUUAGUAAUUCCUGGAAGAACUCUAAUAUAAAAGCUAGGUACUUGUAAGUAAGCAAACAGAGCAACUGUUCAUCAUUUCCAUCAUGCAUCUUUUUGGUUAUUUAUAUUUUUUUUUAGAUAAAUUAAAUAGUAAAACAGAAUAGAAUAAAUAAGAAGAGCAAAUAGAAACUUACUUGAUAAAUUUGGGAGGAACUCCCCCAAGCUGGAUAUUGACGUCGGUCUUACCCGAUGUUCCAUAACCGCAUCAUGGUUGUGAUGUUGUCGUUCAUUGUUGUUGUAUCUUGUCUUAGCUCUUCUACUGCAGCGGCAUGGUCCUGGUUCCAUUUUUGUUGCUCUUCCAGGAGUCUUCCAUGUUCUGCUUGCGUGUUCUGGAUGUCGAGGAGGGUGUUGUCGGUACGAGUGAAGAAAGCACCGGCCUCUUGAUAGUAGUCAUUCGUGAAAGCAUAGGAGGCGUCGGAGUAUCGUCCUGCAUCAAAUUGGGGUGGAGGUCUGGAUCCUGAAGCUCCAUAUGGAUCAGUGGAGUACCUGCCCGUAUGAAAAGGCGGGUUUGUCCACUGGUGAUCUUGGCUCUCCGGCCAUGUCUCCUCUGUUGGCUCUUGUGGUUGCGCAUGACGAGCCCAUGGGUCUCGAAGGACUCGAGGGUUGUAAUCGCAAUAAUGCAGGUGCACUGCUUCUUCUUGUCCAGGGUCAGCUCCAUACCAAGUGCGUUCUCGGUGAGUGGUUAUCCUUUCAGAUGCCACUCACUGUGGAGUCCUCUGGUUCACUGGUGUUGCUGCAAUCUCAAUCAAAAAGUUUUGAACAACGUAGAGGCCAAGGUUCGGGUUAGGUAACCGAAUCUUGCCUUUAUCAUCAUAUAACAUAUACAUUAUAUUCCCCUCUUUCUUUAACAUCUGAGCCUGUCUAAAUGUGUCAUAGCCAUGAUAAAUUCUUAACUCUUCUAUGAAGUCCAGUGACGAGUUUUCUAGUAAGUGAAGAUUAGAGGCUAGACGAGUGAUAAGUGAAGUACAUCCUACUGGUCCCUGAAGACUAGGUAUACUAAGCCAAUGUGAAACUAAUAGUGUAACAGGUGAAGUGGGUACUUUACUAAUAGCAGCAUAUAAAAGUUGUAAAUCUCCUACUCUUACUUUCCUAAUAUCAUCGCGAUAGAAAAGAUUGUACCCAAGCCAUUUGUGAAAUAUCCUAAGAGUGGGGUGUUCCAUGUCACUGGUUCGGGCUUGACUGUAAAAAUUAUCUCUAGAUAUUUCUCUCCAAAACUAGUGUCUCUCAAAAAUGGGUAAAUCGGAGUCAAUGUUCAGGAUGCAUCUUGAAGAGAAACCAAGAUGGUCGCUCAGCUCUUUCCAACAUAACAUAAGUUCCUGUUUGAACAUCCGAAAAACAAUUCCCCCUCAUAGUAUUGUAAAGUGCAAAGAAAUUCGAGGGUGAGAAGACGAGAACCCAGCUCAGUUAUAUUCCAAAAAUUUGUCCAACCCAUCAUCUGAAAAAUUAAGUCGAAUUCAGUGUCCAUACCUGUUUCUCGUAGUAGGAUUGGAUCGAGAGUAGGGGUAUGAAUGAAAUCUUUGUUCUUCAGUUGCUGAUAGACUUCCUUCUCUCUUCGGGUCUUCAGUCCAAGGUCUCCUAUCUUAAGAAGGACCUUGACUUGCUGACCUGAUGAAGAUGAUGGAGCUUGUGUGGGUGUCGAGUCGACGCUCACUUCUGAUGGCUGUGAGGAGUGUCGGGCGGAACUCCUUGUACCAAUGUUCUUGAGAGCCUUCCCUGCAUUCUUCACCUUCUUAAACAUCCUGCAAAAGUUGGCAAAAACACAACUGGUGGAAAAUGUGAGAUAAAAUGUUAGUGGUCAGCUGUCUGGAGUGUCAGCAGUCCAGGGGUUAAUCGUUCAAGACAAGUUUCUAUUUUGAUAGAGCCUCCCCCUGAACAACUUUUAUUUCUGCUUGGACAGCGGGAUCACUACUUGCUAGGUGAUAAAUACUCUCUCAAAAGAUCUCCAACCUUCUCUUCCACUCUCCUCUUUCUCUCUACUCUCUUCUCUUCACUACAAGAACUCCUUCUCGGGAAACUGAAACUUGUGUGGUUUUAUGGAGUGUUUGUGUGAAGAGAAGGGGAGCUGGAGGUGGCCUUUUAUAGGAGGAAGGAGGGACAGGGCGGGCGCCCUUGGUAGGUGGGCGGGCGCCCUCUUAUGAUGCCCAUCCUGGGUGUGCCUCCUCCACUUGCUUCCUUGCUUUGAUCUCACGCAGAAUAAUGUUGUGUUGGUAGUGGUUGGACGGUGGAAAGAUGUCAGGUGAGUGGAAACAUAUUGGUGGAUGAAAUUAUGUGAUGGGAUGUAUGUGAGGUGAAGUGUAUGACAUGUGGGACCCAAAGAGUGCGGGUCCUGCUUCUAGAAGAUCAAUAUAAAUAAAUAUAAUGCAGGAAAAUCUAUGAGAGUUGAAACUUAAUGAAAAUGAUAUUGGAAAAUAUUUUUGUGCCUCCACAAUAAUUAAUAAAUAUGGGUUGUUACACACCACGAAUUUUAUUUAUAUGGGGCUUUUGAUUAUUAUAAUAAUGCUAUGAAUAAAUGUGACUAAUGCAAGAUUUAAUUAUGCAAGAAUUAAAUAUGAGAAAAUUAAUAAUGCAGAUAAAUACCGAUUUACCUCCCGGUGAGGGUUCGGGAUUUUUAGGUCCCCCAAGCUGGACCUCCAAAUCUUUUAAUCUUCUGAGUUACCUUCCUCCGGAGAUGGUGUCUCCAGUGGUUCUUCAUGAACUUCCUUCACUGUAGAGUCCCUUUCUAGUCUGGGUUUGAAUGUGAAGUGUUCUUCUUGACCGUUUAUGUUGAACUUGAUUUCUCCCUUCCCGACAUCAAUGUGGGCAUUGGCAGUGCUCAGAAAUGGCCUUCCAAGGAUGAUGGACACUUUCGAGUCAGGACUCAUGUCCAGUACUACGAAGUCUACUGGCACAAGGAAAUCUCUGAUCUUGACUGGAAUGUUCUCGGCGAUGCCCAACGGGUGUCGAACCGAUUGAUCCGCUAGUUGUAGGCACAUUGAUGUUGGUUCUAAGGUUGCAUGCUCAAGUUUUUUGUAGACUGAUGCUGGCAUCACACUGACACUUGCUCCGAGAUCACAAAGUGCAUUGUUGAAGUGUUGGUUUCCGAUCGAGCAAUCAAUAGUGGGGCAUCCUGGAUCUUCCUUCUUCUUUGGUGGUUUGUUGAGGAUGGCCGCACUACAUUCUUCUGUCAGCUUGAUAACCUCAGUGGUGGGCAGUGGUCUCUUCUUGUUAAGAAUAUCUCUGAUGUACUUUGCAUAUGUAGGUACCUGUAUGGCAUCGAGCAGAGGUAUGUUGACAUAUAAUUUCUGAAUGACCUCUACAAACUUACCAAACUGCUCAUCCGACUGCAGUCCUCUGUUUCUUCUGGGAAAUGGCAAAUAGUUGGUGUCGUAAAAAUCUUUCCUCAUUUCUCCAGUUCUUGGUGGUUGGAGCAGAUCUUCUGCUUCAACUGGGCUUUCUUCUUCUAUCACUGCUGGUUGCACUGGUGCUGAUAUUCUUUGUUUCGCUUUUGGGUAUGGUGGAUCUCUGGUGGCUUUUCCUCCUCUAGUAGUUAUAUUCUUUACCUUUGCUAUUGGGUUGACUCGAAGUUGGUUGAUAUUUGUAUGCUGUCUCAAUGGCCCUGUGAUCUUCUUUGAACUUGGCCCUCUGGUCAAUCCAAUGGAGCAAAUUCUCCAUCUUAGUUGAUAAUGCUUUUACUUCUUCUGGUAUUUCUUCAGUUUGAUGACAUUGUUGAGCUUUAUCUUGGAACCAGCUUUGAUUUUCUGUUAUCUUAUCCAAAAGUAUCUCUGCUUUUCCAGUUGUAAGCUCCAAGAAUGAUCCUUUAGCAGAUGCAUCUAGGCACUCACGAGCCUUCUGGGUUAAUCCAUGGUAGAAGGUCUGCAUAAGUAACCAUGUGGCCAAUCCAUGGUGAGGACAAUCUGAUAUGUAUCCUUGAAAACGCUCCCAUGCUUCUGAAAUGGCUUCUGUCUUCUGCUGUUGGAAACUGACAAUAUUUCUUCUUAAGGCAGUUGUUUUACCUAUAGGGAAAAACUUUGAUAGAAAGGCAUCUGACAAGUUCGUCCAGUUGUUGAUGUCAUCUUGAUGAGUGUAGAACCACUUCCUCGCUUUUCCUUCUAGUGAGAAUGGAAAGAGGCGAAGUAGUAUGACGUCUUUGUCAACUCCGUUGAUGUGGAUUGUGCUUCCAAUCUCUAAGAAAUUCUGCAAGUGUGCACUGGCAUCUUCAUGUGCCUUUCCACUAAAUUGUGUAGCUUGUACCAAAUUGAUGAGGCUUGACUUGAGCUCAAACUCGGGUAUUCCUUCUUCUACUGCAAAUCUUGGACCAGUUGGAAUGUUGUCAAGACUUGGAGCAGAGAAUUCUUGCAAGGUUUUUUGUGCCAUAGCUUCAGCAAUUGGUAGCUAGCUUCUUCUUCUCUUGAUUGCUUUGGUUCUGAUGAUGAAGAGUUGAAUGUACCCAAAGUCAAUCCUGUUAUACCCUGUAUAAAAAUAUAAACAUAGAAAAACAACAGGGUGAACCUGCCAAAGCAGCGGUGCCUUGUUAUGAUUUCUCACUUAGUAGCUGUUUUCUGCAAUUAUUUCUCUAUAGUCUAGUCUAAUGUUUUGUGUGAAUAAUCCUUGAUUGAUUUUCUGGCUUUCCUUAAUAUUACUCUUUUGUUCCCUUUUAUGACUUAUUCCUGAGACUCGUAUAAAUCCUAUAAGUCCCCGGCAACGGCGCUAGAAAUGCUUGUUGACACUAGCUAACACCACUUAGAUACUAGGUUGUCAUCCCUAGCAUGGCGCCAGAGUGUACAAAGGUAUUUAUAAAUGUAAAGGCUCUCUAGAAAAUAAUCUAUUCUAUCCGCAAGCGCACAGAUAAAACACCUCAUUGUAGCAUUUCACCAGGAUAAGUAUUCCAGGUAUCGUUAUUUAUAAUUUUGCUUAGGGGAUCUAAAGAAGAUGGAAUUAAAUCAAGGGACAAAAUCUAUCAAGGCAUAGACUAGAGAUAAACUUGCAAGAACAUGAUUACUAAUGAGAAACUCGUCACACAGUCACAUACUUUAGCAGGGGGUAAACCAUAAAGAUAAUGAUAAUAAAGUAUAAGUUCAUGGGAUAAAGAGCACAGCGAUUAGAAAAUAGACUACUCCUCAUAUAUGUAGGUGAUGUCGGAUUAGCUAGAGAAUGAAUUCUAGGUUAUCUACUAACUACUAAGUCAUAAUCUACUCUAGUUAUCUACAAGAUCAUAUAUAGCAUAAAAGACUCUUCAUUCAUGUAUAAGGAACAUUGAUAAAGUAAAUCAGAACAUCGCAUGACUUACUCCACAAUACCGGUUCUGCCUAUCCUAUCAACGGAGGGUGGACUAUAUAAGAAUCAACAAAGCUGUCACUAUCGCGACCUACCACACGACUCGGCCAAUAGGAUACAUUUGCAGAUAAAUAACAUCUAAGCACCACGCUCACAUGUAAUCUAUCACCUAACUCCCUCGCGUCAAGAGCUAAGCGCUUUGCAAACUUAUACAUAAACUCAUUAUCAAUUAGAACUAUAUCAAAUAUAGAACUAGAGCAAACUAAGAACAUAAUAAUUAGAGACAUAAUGCAAUUAGAACAAUAGAAUUAGAGAAAGAUAUGAAUAAUACCAAUCUUUAUUACCGAAGAUCUGAAUCCAGAGCGUAGUGCUCUACUUCUCUAAUUGCUAUCUAAUCAACCUCUAAACUUGAAGGAUUAGGGAGUAGCUAAUUCUAAUUCUCUGUGGGAGAGAAGCUCUAAACCCUAACUUUGAUGGCUACCUCUGAAUAAUGAUUUCUCCUCUCUCCUCCAGGGGCCAGGGGGUCUGGUUUUAUAGUCCCCUCAAGUGAACGUGAGCCAUUGGAUCAAACCAACAUAGAUUGUAUGGUUUAGAUUGAUCCUUUAGGUCGGUGGAGUCUUGCCCCGAAACAGAGUCCUGAUCCAACUCCUGGCCAGGGCGGGCGCCCAAGGGGGGUGGGCGGGCGCCCUGCCCCCGAGCCCGAAUCGCUUCCCGUUCGUUCCCGUGGCUUCUGGAUCCUUCUAGAUUGAGGAAAAUUGCGCGGCACGUAAUUAUCUCAUUGUAAACAUGACAUGUGGGCCUUCUCUCCAUAUUUUCUGAUAAACCCCUGCAGAAAUAGAUAAACCCCAAAACUCGUGGAAUUCUGUCAGAUAAAACCCUAAUUCUAGAUGUUUGUUUCAUAUUGAUCCUUUUUCAUGUUUAUUUGAUUAUUAAUUUUAGUACUUAAGGACCGUCAACACUUGUCUCCUUGGAAGAAAGGAUCUUCUUGGUAUAAAUAAUAUUCAAUCUUCUUCCAUGAGCGAGUUCUAUUUAUCUUUAUAUGAUUAUGCAUAUGAACUAGAGUAUGAUUGUGUUCUUAUCUUGUUCAUAGUAUAUGAACUAGUUCUUAGUUCUUGUGCUAUGUUCUUGAUAUGUUCAUCAUUAUUCUUCAUUGUUCAUAAGAUUAGUAUGAUUAGGAUUAGAAUUAGGAAUGGGAUGAUGGUUCACUGUGCUGUGAUUGUUGCUCUUAGCCUAGCCUGUCACUCCGAAGGGGUGGGGCCCAUGGGGGUUAGGAGUUCAGGUAUACGGGAAUCAGUGGAUAUGCGGGUAUCUUUCGGGUAGAGGGGUAGGUGGCAGGGUAGUGACAGCUCUGUCAUCCUUUGCAUUCCCCCACGAUCAGGUAUUUCGAUAGGAGUUUUGUAAAGUGUCUAUCGGCUGGGUAUCCAGCUGCGGGGAUCUCCCCUCAUCUCAGGCUUAGUUCUAACUCUAUUUAUUGCUAAUUAGAUGAUCCGCUAACAAUUAUAUGCAUAGUUAUAUGUGAUCCAAGCCUGUUCAAGCAGAUUUAUUUCUUUAUUCUUUAUUUAUUAUUUCUCUUCUAUUUUAUCCUUGAGGUUGAUCCAAUGUGUGUCCACUAUCUUGAAUAUCAUGUUUAUUCCUGUUUACUCUAUAUCUACCAAGCAUUCAAUAAGUAAUCAUGUUUACACCAUGUUUGAUCCCUUUGCCUUCCUACGGGAAUUAUAAAUUCAGCACCCUUGAAUACUCAUGGGUUGAAAUGCUACAAAGAUAGUUCUGUCCGCUUGCAGUUAUAUUACUUCUUCAUUCAUGAACAAUCGAUUUGUGUACCUAAGUACCGUUACUUAAGAUUUUAAUCCUUGUGCACUUUCAAGCGUAGUGCCACAGCUUUGCAUAUCGCAAGUAAGGAUGGUUAGGAAGGCCAAUCUGGCAUUCCUAAUUAUUGUUACCAGAUUGCACUGCUAAGGCCGACGCCCUCGAGUUGCCUUGGGUUAUCUCUCUGAUGUAGCGAUAGUUACGGUAUGCCAACACCCGACAUUUCUGGUGCCAUUGCUAAGGAUGGAUCUAUGGUCUAUUUUUAGUAGUGUUGCUAAGAAAUUCCAACAGCCAGCCGGGCCCGCUGGCUAGAGCGUCUAGAGGGGGAUAGAUCCCCGUCGACGUCACGUCGCCGGUGAGGCCUCACGGCCAAAACUGAGGGCAUCAUCGUGUCUGCCUCACAUUUGUGACUCGAUCCCACCCCACAUCGCGACCCACGGUCGAGCAAAGCGAUCUGGCCACCAGCAAUGGCGCACCGGCGGCGCUGCCGCGGUGGUGCCGGCCACCACACGCCGGUAGAGCGUGCCAGAGUGAUUGCAUGCGACUCAGGAAGCCACGGCGACCGAAAUAUGCGUGGUAGCGAGGCAAGAAAAGGUCAGAAAGGGAAGAACAAGGGACACCGGCGCCAUGGAGAGCUCCGGUGAGGUCUCGCGCUCUCCGACGAGCGAUUUAGUGCCCUGGGGAAGCUCACCUGCGCGAGAAGAUCUCGUCCGAGCGUGGUGAUGCGAAUGCGGAGCUCAGAGAGGUGGAAGAGGGCGCAGAGAGGCAGCGGUGUGCUUGGAACGAGGUGGAGGAGACUCGGGAGCUCCAAUGGCGGGCGGCGGUGCGAUGCGCGCGGAGCGGAGGCGAGAGAGCGAGAGAGAGCGAGACGGUGCGCACAGAGUGGAGGAGGGAAUGGCGAGCGCGCUGGAGCUGUCCACAGGUGGAGGGGAGGGUCAUGACGUCGGCCGGGCGUGCAUGCCGUCCAUGCGGCGCCGCUGGCCUAACGCGGUCGGGCGCGCGUGGCGCGGACAUGUCCGAGCGGGAGGAGGAAGGGGACGCGGGCGCGGGGAGGCCGGGUCGGCUUUGUUGGCUGGGCCGGUUGGUUGGCGCCGGCCCGCCAGUGAACAACCCCCCUCUCCCUUUUUUUAAAUGUCUAUUCCAAAAAGCUUAAAUGCCAAAUUUGAGACUUUUGCAAAGCUUUUAAGGAUUUGGAGUAAAAAGAAGAAAUACUCCCCAUAAAAUUCUCCACUACUUAGUUUCAAGGUGCAAAUCCAAAUUCCAAACAAAAUUUGAAUCACAAAUUAAAACUUGUUCUAGGUUUGUAAAUAAAUCUAUUUUGGGAAAUUUGUAUAAAAUCCAUAUUUCAAAUUCUAGAGCUCCAAAAAUUUCACAAAAUUAUCCUUAAUUCUUCUAAAACAUAGUUCAAAUUACUUUGGUCAUCACAAGCAUUUUUGAAGUAAGCAUAAUAAUUUAUCAUAUUUAAAUUCAUUUAAAGCAAUCACAUAAAAUCACAAUUUAAAUGCUACUAUGCUCAUGUGAUCCUAUGCUCAUGCCCAUGCUUGAUGAGAGUGCUUAUGAGUAGUUUAUGAGACUAAGUGCAUGCUUAACACCUAGGGUGUUACAACUUGACCCCCCACACUUGGAUUCUUGAGCAUUUUGAAAUCCAAAGACAUGGGAAACAUCAAGUGCAGGGGUCCUGCUGGUGGCAACACACCAACAGGACCAAGUUGGGUCAUGGGUAAGUAGCUACAAUCUUAUCAUCAAUUUAACAGGGGAAAUUUCAAUCUUGUGUACCCUGGCAUAGAGCAAUUUUAUUUCAUCAUCUUUUAGAGAGUUAGAAGUACUAGGAAAAAGAUUGGUAGUAAUCCAGAUAUAAAUUAAGCACAAGGUUGGAUUGUGAAUUUUAGAGGUUAAGAGAGUGGAGCAAUCAUCAAAAUAUACUCUUGUUAAACCUAGGCAUGGUGCUGUCUAAGUCAAUUGUACUGUCAAAGUCACAACCUAGAGCAGUGGUUAGAAGACCCCAAGUACAGCUACACUCUUGCCCACACAUGCGAAAUUAUAUGAGUCAAUUUUAGUGUGCAUAAAAAUUCUUUAGUGAGCACUUCUAUACCAAGUUUAAGGUACUCACCAAAAACCUCCUAAACCAAUGGUAUCAAAAUAUCAUUGAAUUCUUUAGUCAUACCUGCGCGGUCCACAAGGGCUGGGUCGAGGAUGCUUGUAUGGCGGAAACCGCUCUCCUUUAGGUUGUUGAACUUGAUCACUCUUCCGGUGUUAAUAUGAGUUCAUUCUUCAAGAUCCAUUGCUCUUGGAGGAAGUUCGUAGAGCACCACUUGAUGGUGACUCUCCCCUUCCUCCAUCCUCUCAUUGCUUCCCUCAUUAGAGUGAUGAGAGCUUUGAGAACAACUCUCACCCCCUUUGGACUUCUAGAAUCGGGAGAGGAAUGCUUUCUCUAUUUUCCAGCACAACACAGACAACCAAACCUUUUCCUACUUCUACUCCUAUGAAAUACUAAAUAUUUUUUGGUUUUUUUGAAAGGCAACUAUUCUAAUCUUGAGAAAUAACUUGCAACUAAGAAGAGAGAAGAUGGAUUGUGAGCUUGAGAUAAUUUUGGUGGUUUUGGGUGUGGAAUUGAGCUCACAAUGCAUGGGUAUUUAUAAGGGACGAAGGGCAAGUGGUGAACACCCCAAUGCGGGGGUCGACCGACCUCCCCAUAAGCACUAUGUUUCAAAAUUUUGAAUCAUGGUAGGGAAUAUUGCAACAUAUAUGAACUCUUUUCCAGAGAUUGGCCAAUGUACGGGUCGGCCGACCCCUACCCUAAGCACUUUAGCACUCUAAAUGAUGUGGCAUUAAGUGUCUACUAAAGUAAAGCUUAGGCGUGGAAAAGAAGUAAAGUUCUUUUAUAAGAGUCCCUUGCCUAGUGCUAUGUGCAAGAGAAAAGAUGCUUUGCAAAAGUGGAGAUAUGCUUAAAGUGGUUGUCAGUGAUCAUGACAGCACUAGAGCAUGUCUAGGGGACCACUUUGUAGGUUUAAGCUGGUGCCCAGGUCCCAAACGAGCCAUUUCUUUUCAGACUUUGGCUUGUGUGUCAUGCAUGGGAUUCUAAAGCAAAGCAAAUGGGAGAUAGUAGACUGCAAAAAGGGCAAGUCUCGGGGUCGACGGACCCCAACUUGAAAGCUCUACGAGCAUCCAAGUGCUGACCUCAACACAUUGCAUCAAGCCAAAGUGAAAGACUUCAAGUGGGCCCAAUGGUGGGGUCGGCCGACCCCACCUCUAGGUGAUCCACAUGUCAAAAUUGUAUUGCAAGUUGUUCUCAAGAUUUUCAUUUAUUAUUCCUAAGCAUUUUGUCGAAGGGAAAUAUGCAAAACUAAACUAAGCAUGCAAUUGGAAGGGAAUUGCAAGAAUUGAAAUGCAAUGAGUAAAGAUGGGAUAAGUGCUGAUUUACCUUAUAAGCAAGGGCUCCAUGUUUUAGGUUCGUAGAGCAGGACCUCUCCAUCUUGUUUAUUGCUUGGGUGCUUCAGAUGGCCCUAGAGAUAUGGACCAAGAUUGCACCUCCUCUUGCCACACUUGCCUACCUUUGCCUUGACGUUCUUGGAGGCAUGGUAUGGUUCUCCUUUAAGCACAAUGGCCUCCAUGGUGACCUCUGGUUUCACAGCUAGUCUCGCUCAUGAUUGAAGGGGGCCUCACUGAUAUAAUUGAUGACAUUUGUGCUAGAGAGGACCACGACAGGCUACUCAAGGUAACUUGGGUGGCGUAUAUGGGGCCAGAAGGUGUUGAGUUUGAGACAAGGAGGAUUGGGAUGGAGAAGAAGAAGAGGGAAGGCCAAGGAAAGCUAUUGCCAAAGAUUACAAACUUGUUUUCACAAGAGUUGCAACUAGGAAUAGUUUCUAAGUGUUGGCACAACUCUCUGGGUCAGAUUGGGGUUCCCAACUAUGGGUCGCCCGAUCCCACCUCAGUGGAAACCAAAGUUCACACUUCUCCCUCAACUCUCCCUUUCGUAGGACCACUUUCAAGAUACUUGCAUCCUAUCAAGUAGGGGUCACCCGACCCUUAGUUGAUGGGUACAAAGCAAGAAAGUUUGGGUCCUACACUUUUUAGGUGACUAGAAGUGGUCUGGCCGAGUUUGAGCCCUAGUGGGUACUAGGUCCAGGUCGCCCGACCCCAGUUUGGAAGUUCUGGAGCAAACAUGUUCUGGGUUUGUACUUCCCCACAUGCCAUAGAAGGUUUGGCCAAACAUAGGCUUGGUUAGCGACUAAGAUGGGGUCACCCGACCCCAUAAUGGAGGCUCCCCAAGACCAGUUUUGUCUCAAGGACUAACAUAAGUGUAUUCAUGCUAUCCUAAAGGCCAAUCCACACAAAAUAUAUAAAAUGUUAAGACAUGUAGAUUUUAGUCUUGUUGAAUCUUUAGUAAGGAUGAGUUCUAGCAUGUCAACUUCUUCUAUCAAGGAUCAAACUCCUAUAAAACUCUUAAGAAGGUGGCCACUUACCUCGAAGAUGAAGAGUCAUAGCAUUGGCCCUUCUUAGUUGCAUCGAAGUUCUCUUUGGCCAAGAAACUUGUCUUCGACCAUGAGGAUCUCAAGUUGUCUCCAUGAAUGAUAUCAUGACUUACCCAUAGAGAUAUUGAUGUUCUUGCUGCAGGGGUUAGUCCAAAGAUGCAACCAAGUUCCAUGCAAGUAUGUUUGGUUCAAUAAUCAAACUUAACACCAUGUCUUGUUUGAUUAAGGUAGUCUAUUUAACCUAAGCACCAUGCUUAAUUUAAAAAGACUAUGGAGGUACUCACUCGAGCGAUUAGUAGAACCAAACCAAAGCAUACUAACAUAGAAAGAGGGAGCAUGAUAGGUUGAACAAGAUUCAUCAUACUAGAGACAAGAUAAUGAGUGAUGAAGACAAGAGGCAAAUAUUUUUUUUAUUUUUAUAUGCAAGGCAAUGCAAAGUGGAGGAUGAAUGCAUUUAAACAAAUAUGUUGUGGUUAAAAUAAUGAAAAAAAAUGAGUGAUAUGCAUGAACAUCUGGGCUUUAGCUUUUUCCUAUGGCGUGGCCCAUCCAAAGGACAGCAUCAUACCGACUAUUAAGGCCGAUAUAUGAGCGAGGAUGUUCCCGUUUAACAUUCGACUACCACAAGCUAGACUAGGAGCCCGAAUAGGUAGACAACAAUUAAAUUGUUGUCUAUCUAGACUAGGCAUGAUGCCCGAUUACAACUCAAAGACUAUGAGCUACCCAAGAAAGCACUAGAUUUAUGCAACAUUAAGCAAACAUGCAGUGGAAAGGAUAAAAAGAAAAGAAAGAUAAAAGAGGAAUAACUCGAACGACUUUGAGUCUAGUUAACCAGCUACCGUUCCCCGCAACGAUGCUAGAAAUGCUUGUUGACUCUUCUUAGCGUCACUACCUAGGAUUGUCAGUCCUUGGCACAACACGAGAAAUGCUUGUGUGACACCAGAAGUGGCAAACGGUUUUACCGCAAGCAGACGGUGGUCAAUGUAGCACUUCACCAGGAGUAUUCCAGGUAUCGUAUUUUCCAUGGGGAAUGAGAAGUGGAAUAACUAGACCAAUUGAGCCAUCGGAUGAUGAGCAAAGGGCUUAGGAUUGGGUGGAGAGGUAUUUCUAGUAUUCAGCUUCUGGCUAAGCUAUCCUAAGUAUACGUGAGAGUUAACUCCCUUCCUACUGUGGCCGAUAGGUGAAAAUGGUGUGGAGAAACACUUCCCUAGGCAGCUACCAUGCAGGCCAACUAUUAUUUGCAACUUGCCUAACAAUACACUAAAGAGAACUCCUAAUGUCCAACAGAGGUCUGUCACGCUUUGCUGCUGGCCUUCUUUAGGUGCAACAAAAAUCCACAAGGGUAGACUUAGUCUAGACACCACGUCUACACUAAUUCUACUACUCUAGACCCAACUAAGGUUUCGAGCACUUCACACAAGGGAAAACAAUGUGCCAGAUAGGCUAGUUGUGUACUUAAAAUAAGCUAAGACAAAAAGUAAAUACUGGAAGUACUCAGAUGAGAGACAACUAGAAGGAAGACUUACUAGAAGCCAAGCAUCCGCUGAGGCGCUCCUAGAAGAAGACACCCGACAAGCCGGGACUCCUCCUUGGGGAACUCUUCACUCUCUUCCCUCCAUUCUCACACUUAGCUAAGAGUAGCUCUUCCUAAGAUACAUCAUGCUUAACUAGGCUCUCUAAGGGGGUAUUUAUAGGGGAGAGAUGGAGUAGGGGCUACUCCAGCGCCACGUCAGCAAUCCGCGUGACCUCCAGCAUGCACUGUUGGAUAAACCAACCUUAGAACUACCAUAUGAUCAAUGGUUGGGGAUUUCCAUCACAUGGGGACGUCGGUGGGAGUGAAUCGACUCAAGAUGGGGCCCACAUGUCGGUCGGCCGACCUACCAUUUGGAUGACAAUGGGUCCCACUGACCUUCUAGAAGGUCCCUAGGUCGGUGGGAGGCUGGGCAAGGUGGCAUGACCCAAUUGGUCGGUCGGCCGACCGACCUUUGGGCCCCUGGCCCACCACUGGCCUCCUGGUGGUGUCCCCACUUGUCAUGUGAAAUGUUGUCCAAAGUCGAGUCUAGUUGCACACUUGCUUGCUUCCACGUGGGCCCAAGGGUCCAUGUGCUAAGUGUUUGAACCAUUGAGGGCAAGCACACAUGGAUCCAAGGGUUGGGAUUGACUCCUUGGAGUAUGCCAUGGGUCAUGCCAUGGAGGGGAGCCCCUAGUGGGCCCAAACCAUGGUCGGCCGACCUAGGUUAUGGGGCCCACAGGGCUCAUUUCCUUCUUCCCUGCAUUGAACAAGCUAAGAGUACAAGUGGAACUUUAUUAGUGAUAAACAUGUUCGUGUGAUGCUUAUAUUCCUUCAUUCGAGGACUGUUGAUAGGCUUUUUAGUAUAUAGAACUGGGUCUUAUUUCCCGUCAAUAGUGUAGUGGGGAGAACUCAAACUAGAUGAAUGCAUCAGACUCUCCAUUGCCGAUAUGGAGAAAAAUGAGUCGAUGAUGAUAGCAGCCGCAUACUUUUGGUCAGAUACCUUCAAUGCUUUCAUGUUUGGUCAUGGCCUAGCUUCCCCCACACUUGUCGAUGUGCUCAUGCUCACAGGGCUAGACAUCUCAACUGCUGAUGACGGUAGUCUUUUCAAUCGGAAACCUGACCACAUAGUAGAUGCUCGUAACAUCGACGGUUGGUCAGGAUACAUCCAGAAGUAUCAGCAAACUGGAUCGGUUAGCCAGAGAGAACACGCCAUUUUCCUAAACAUGUGGCUAGACAAGUUCAUCUUCUGUGGCUGAUUAGUAGGGCCCACCUGUGUCUACUUAGCAACUGCCGAGUGGUUAGCCAACAGUUCCCGAUUUCCUCUUGGCCGAUACCUCUUGAGUUCUACUUAUCACCUCCUUCAUCAAGUGGCCGAGAAACUUUUGCUAGGUGAACCCAUCGACAAUUUUGGAGGUCCCUGGUGGUUUAUUAAUAUGUGACUUAAUGCCCAUAUGCACAAGCGCCUACAAUGGGAUUUCUUUGCAUAGCGGUUUCCACGGGACAUUGCCGAGGAUUACGAGUUAGCAGAAGAUGAAUGGGCAACUCGCUCGCCCCUCAAUUUCAGCAAAGCCAUCAUAGUCCUCCCUGGGACCAAUGCAAAUGAGAAUCGGAUCGGCAGAUUCUUUCAAACUUUCUACAACAGCCUUUGCAGGGACCAUCGGGCUUGUAUGCCUUAUGAAGACGAAGAAUUCAGUUUCCCUCUCUCCUUUCACCAUACUGAUCAAGUGCUCAACAAGGAUAAUGACUUGACGUUGGCAAUUAUCACCCCAAGGGCAAUUCCAGUGAACACCUUUGGUAGUGGAAAGAAUACCAACACAACCUAUGAAUCUCUGCUAUGCCGAUGUGGUCAAGCCGAGGGAAACAAUCAUGUGUUGUCUCGAAUGGAUCAGGGUAGCUGAACUUCUACCAGAUGCCAAUACAGCAGACAUUGACCUAUCAGCUUGGGUUCCAGCCUCCUUCAUCACCGAAUCCUACAAACUAUGGUGGGAAGAAUGGAAGGAAAAAUUGUUCAUGGCAUCGGCUCACGUUUAUUGGAACUUGAUCGACCCCGAGCGCGAAAUCCCCGAUGAUGCUGUAAGUCCAUUUCUGAUGCUCAAUACUUCCUCUACUUCUAAUUUUAUCGACAACUUAUCUUUUUGCUUUUACAGGUCGAUGAUCUGGCACCAUCGGUAAGCAAAAGCGGGCGGCCGUUUGAUAUCCGGCCAGCAUCUCUGAUUUCUUUGAUCAGCCACAACACCCCCAGCUUAGCACCUCUGAUGCACCGAGGCGUUUGUUUUAAGAAGAUGACUACCAAGCGAUCAAAGGCCACUCCAUCGGUUGCUGCCGCCACCCUAGCACAAGCUUUCAAGGUAAAUCCCCUCAAUUAAUUCCUGUUAUACCGAUUUUGACCUAUUCUUAUAUUAUCUUUUCAGGGAGCAUCAACCAUAACUAGAACGUCAUCCGUAACUUUGCUUUUCAUUAGACACCUUCAUUCUUCAAUGAAUUUCAGAAAUAUUCCUCUGCUCUUAUAUCUAACUCUCAAAACUUUAAAUUUUGUGGCAGCAAACCAGCGCGUCGACAAGGGCCCAAGGCAAUCAAUCAUCGGGCGCUGAUGCCCCCAGUCGACAACCAGCCAAGCCCCUCAUAAGAGAAAAUCCCCCAAAGCACCAAGACUCAGCCGAAACGGCAGAAAGCAGCACCAACCUCUCCACCUCAUCCGGUGCCCCAAACUCAUGCAGAUUCGGCCGAUGCACCUGAGAUGACCAUCGAUCCACUCAAUCAAGGGACGUCAUCGGCCGUUAUUCUUAAGCAGGCAACUAUCACUCCCCCUCAAGGUAAAGUACUAAUCAUUAAAUUAUUGCCAAUGAAUUUUUCACAUAAACACCAUCAUCAUCCUUAGCAUCUGCAGCUAAAGAUAUUCAAUCGGCAAAUCUAGCCGAUCAAGGUACAAUACAAGUUGCAUCCCUAAGUCAAAGGCAAGAAAUCACCCUAAAACAAGUAAGCCACCUGAUUUGUUUGAUUUUGUAUUAUCUGCAUCUAAUCUUGACUAACUCAUUUUCUCUUCUAUUUUCAGGAACAAGACUCCCCCGACAGCUUGUUCUCCUUUGCCAUCGACAUCUCUGAUGAUGACGGUGAAGAAGCAAGUUCUUCCUUGGCGCUCGGAAUCGCAUCAGCAGAGAUCAAAUCUAAGUUGGAGGAUCUACUGGGCAUUUUGCAGCAAGAUACAGCCCAACUGGUGGGUGAUUCUAACCUAGCCAAGGACAUCUCCAAGACUCUCUGGGGUCAAAUUCCACCCGAUGUCAAAGAAAUGAUCUUCCAAGCUGCCCAUCUGGAGAGCCGCCAACUCCAGAAUCAAAAGGCUGUUCAAUGUCUUGCCGAUAGAGCUGCCUACGCCCAACUCAAGGAAGAAAUGCUCCAGGUAAAGCAUGCUGCCGAUGAGAAGCACAAGAGCAUCGGCACUUUGCAAUCCUCAAGCACCGAAUUAAAGCAGAAAAUUUUUGAUCUGUCAACAAAGAGAGAGGCUCUGCUCACUAAACUUAAACAAGUUGAAGAAGCGUUAACCCAGGCCAAGCAGGAAAAAGCCAACUGUCGGAUGUGCUCAAAAAUCUUCAGCAGAAAAGGGAUGCCCAAGCUCGCAAGGCGUUCCACAUGAAGAAGAAGCUAAAACCACUAGAAGGCUCAGCCGAUGAAGACACCCAAGAGAUAGAGGAAGCCAACCAGAUUCGCCUGCGUGCAAUAUCAGCUAUCCAAGCUUUGUUAAAUUUGUAAACCUCUUCAUCGGCAACAUGUUUUACCAAUUCUCUCGAAAACACAAGUAUUUGAUCCAGCCAAUAGGAUUGUUAUCGGUACUUAAACUUCUUAUGCAUCGACCCAGACACUAGGGUAGUAUCUUUUUAAAUAUUUUCCAUUCAAUGCCCUGGGAAAUUCAACUCCUUCAAGAGUCUCUAGAAUAUAUGCAUUGCCAGGAGCGGAUCGAUUUAUCUGAUAAGGACCUUCCCAAUUAGGAGACUAUUUUCCAAAUUUUUAACUUUUAUUCCUAAUCGAUAGAAUUAGUUUCCACAACUAAAUCACCAUCGGUGAGCUCCUUAGCUUUUACCCAUUUAUCAUACCAUCUAGCCACUCUCUUCUUAUUCCCUUCUAUAUUUACCAAAGCCUUUAACCGAUGACCUGCCAAAUCCUCCAACUCAUCUUUCAUUUGAGUUACAUAAUCAUCGGCAGCUAACUGAUCUUGAGAAAAUAUCCACCUAGAGCCAGCUUUGAUUUCCCAAGGUAACACAGCGUCAUGCCCAUAUACCAACUGAUAAGGCAAUACUUUAGUUGCACUAUGACACGGCAUCCGAUACAACCACAGAGCUUCAUUUAACACUAUAUGCCAUCAUUUAGGGUUAUCUUCAAUCUUUCGCUUGAUGAGCUUAAUAAUUCCUUUAUUAGAAGCCUCGGUCUGCCCAUUGGCUAGAUCAUAAUAAGGAGAAGAGUUCAACACCUUAAUUCCCAUACUGAUUGCAAAUUCAUCAAACUCUCCCGAUGUAAACAUAGUACCUUGAUCGGUAGUGAUUGUUUGAGGAAUGUCAAAUCGGUAAACAAUAUGCUCCUUUACAAAAUCAAUCAUGUUAGCCGAUGUCACCCUCUUUAAAGGAAUAGCUUCAACCCAUUUAGUAAAAUAAUCAGUAGUGACGAGAAUAAACUUAUGUCCCUUGCUCGAUGGCGAAAAAAUUUGACCGAUGAGAUCAAUAGCCCAUCCUCACAACGGCCAAGGCUUGAUAAUAGGAUUCAUAGCCGAUGCGGGUCCCUUUGGAUAUUGCCAAACUUCUAACACCCUUGACACCCUUUGAAAUAUUUGAAACAAUCCUCAAGAAUGGUCGGCCAAUAAUAUCCAUUCCUUCUAAUUAUCCACUUCAUUUUAAAAGCCGAUUGGUGUGCUUCACAGACCCCCUCAUGAAUUUCACCCAUCAAGCUUUUUGAUUCAUCAUCACCAAGAUAUUUGAGUAAAAUUCCAUCUGCAGUACGAUAAUAUAGCUCAUCAUUAAGAAGUACAUACUUGGUGGCUUGAAAUCUAACACGCCUCUCAACUUUCUUAGAUGGGUUUCUUAGGUAAUCAACGAUUUCCUUUCUCCAAUCAUCGGCACCGAUUGCCGAUAGAAACACUUCCAGGAUAGGUUGAUAUCCUGAAGAAUGUUGGGCCAACUGAUUAGCUUUAUGUAGUCAAGGAAUAUGUUCCAAAUGGAAUUCUUUGAAUUCCUUCAAUAACUGCAAACAUCUUUCGUAAUAUGAUAUUAAAAUUUCACUUCGGCAUUCAUAAAUUCCAGCCAACUAAUUUAUAACGAGCAUAGAAUCACCGAAGAUUUCAACAGCAUCGGCAUGAACUUCCCUUAAUAACUCUAAUCCUUUGACUAGAGCUUGGUACUCCGCCUGAUUGUUUGUUGAUGUAGCAACAAUCGGCAAAGAAAACUCAUACUUCUUCCCUCGGGGAGAAAUCAACACUAUACCGAUACCUGCCCCUUGAUCACAUGUAGAUCCAUCAAAGAAAAGCGUCCAAGGAGCAAUCCCCAAGGAACUAAUCGAACUGCAAUGUUGGGUAACAAAAUCGGCCAUAAUCUGACCUUUGACUGCUUUAGCCGAUUUGUAAUGUAAGUCAAAUUCCGAUAAUGCCACUAUCCAUUUACCGAUUCAACCACUCAUAAUCGGCAUCGACAACAUGUAUCUGACUACGUCAUCUUUGCAUAUGACAGUACAUUCGGCCGAUAACAAAUAAUGCCUUAAUUUAGUACAAGAAAAGUACAGACAUAAACAUAAUUUCUCAAUAGCCGAAUACCUCGUCUCGGCAUCCACCAACCUUCUACUUCAAUAAUAAAUCACACGUUCUUUCCUUUCAAAUUCUUGAAUGAGAGCUGAACCGAUAACUGCAACAUCGGUCGAUUGGUAUAAUCUGAAGGGUUUUCCAUGCUGAGGUGGAACUAAUACUGGAGGUUUUGUCAAAUAAUUCUUAAUUUCAUCUAAAGCCGAUUGUUGCUCUCUUCCCCACACAAACUCUUGAUCAGCUUUUAAUUUGAGCAUAGGACUGAAAGCUCGGAUCUUACCCGAUAGAUUGCAUAUAAACCACCUGAUGAAAUUAAUCUAGCCGAACAAGAAUUGAAGUUUAGUUUUAUCAGCAGGGGCAACUAUCUUGUUGAUUGCAUCAAUAGAUGUUCUACUAAUUUCAAUUCCUCUCUGAUGCACCAUAAAACCCAGAAACAAGCCUACCGAUAUGCCAAAUGCACAUUUAUUUGGAUUCAUCUUCAAACCAUGUUUCCUUGUACAUUCAAGUAUUUUUUGCAGAUCGGCUAAAUGCUUUACGAAAUCCCCAGACUUAACCACCACAUCAUCAAUAUAGAUUUCCACCAACGUACCGAUGAACUCAUGAAAAACAAAAUUCAUAGCCCUCUGAUAAGUAGCACCAGUAUUUUUCAAGCCAAAAGUCAUGACUAUCCAUUCAAAUAAUCCAACAUGAUGAGGACACCUAAAUGCAGUCUUGGGAAUAUCUUCUUCAGCCAUGAAUAUUUGAUUAUAUCCUGCAUUGCUGUCCAUGAAGCUAAUAAUCUGAUGCCCAGCUGCAGCAUCCACCAACAUAUCGGCAACUGGCAUCGGAUAACCAUCCAUCGGUGUAGCUUUGUUAAGAUUUCUAAAAUCAAUGCAUACAUGAAGUUUUCCGUUUUUCUUGCAGAUAGGAAGCACAUUAGAAAUCCACUCAGCAUACUGACACUGCCGAAUGAACUUGGCUUCGAUAAGUUUGGUUAUUUCGGCCUUAAUAUCAGGAAGAAUGUUAGGGUAACAUCGACGCGCUGGUUGCUGAUGUGGCCAAAAUCCAGACUUAAUAGGCAACCAAUGUUCAACAAUCGAUCGGUCUAAUCUAGGCAUCUCGGUAUAAUCCCAAGCAAAGCAAUCUUUAUAUUCCUUUAACAAAUCGGUUAAUUGCUGCUUACAUUUAGAAUCUAACUUAGCACUAAUGAAAGUAGGCCUCGGCCUGUCACCACUACCUAUGUCUACUUCUAUUAAAUCAUCAGCCGAUGUAAAUCCCUGUCCUAACUUUCCAUCAUCGGCGAACCUAUCCAUUAAAACUCUUCACCAGAACCAACUGCUUGGAUCGGUGGAAUCUCAUAAUUGGCAACUUUGAGAAAAUCUUUCUCCCGCCUCUCCCGAUAUGCAUUUGGUUCGCUCGUAAGUAUCUGAUUCUACCGAUGCAAUGAUGUAGGAAGAAUCUCCAGUAUCAAAUUUAAUUAUUAAAUAAACAAAGAAAAUGAUCCAAAUGAAAUCAACAUCUAGACUUAGGGUUUUAUCUGACAGAAUUCCACGAGUUUUGGUGUUUGUCUAUUUCUGCAUGGGGUUUUCAGGAAAUACGGAAGAAAGGUCCACACGUCAGGAUUACAUAGAGAUAUUAACGUGCCGCGCAAUUAUCUUACAUCUAGAAGACUCUAGAAGCCACGAGAACGAAGCGGAGGCGAAAUGGGGCCUGGCCUAGGGCGCCCGCCCAGGAGACCAGGGCGCCCGCCCACCUCUGGAGUCCAAUCAGGACUCUCUUUCGGGAUUAAGCUCCACCGACCUAAAGGAUCAAGGAUAACCAUUCAAUCAAUGUCGGUUUGAUCCAACGGCCCAUAUUCACUUGAAGGGACUAUAAAACCAGACCCCCUGGCCCCUGGAGGACAGAGCCUCUCAACCCUAAUUCAUUAUUCUUCAAGGGAGAAGAAGCCUCUGAUCAAGCCUAGAGGCACCACAUCAAUUAGACAUCUAGAUUAGCAUAGCUACAUAGGAUUAGAACUAGAAGGAGUCAAUCUUCGAUUGGUUUCCGGAUCUGUCAAGAGGAUUCUUGGUAAUACUCUAAUUGUUCUUCUAAUUGUUCAUCUUUGUUCUUCAAUAUUAUGAAUAUGACUUUGUUCUACUUCAAUAUAUUGCUUAUGACUUUGCUCUACUUGUUUAUAUUCAAGAUUAUAUUGUUCUUAGUUUAUCAUAGUUAUAUACUUGGCUUAGUUAGAUUGGAUCUAUAUACAUGUUUAGGAUCGUAUAGCGUUUAUCCAUCGGAUCCAUGGGUAAAUAAUAGAUAUUGUGUAGGCGUGGUGCUUAUACCGUAUUUAUCUGCGAUUGUACCCAAUAUGCCAGAUCGUGGGGUAGUUCGUGAUAGUGACAGCUUGAUUGAUUCUUAUAUAGUCCCCCUCUCGUGUAUUGGGCUGGCAGAGCAACAUUAUUACAGGGGAGUGAUUACGAUGUUUCUUAUAUUCCUUGCUAAUAUCACUAUGCAUGGGCGUAGUCCUGUCUCACAAUGAUUGCUAGGUAUGCUUGCACUAACUAUGAUAAUGCUAGACUAUAUAGUUGAGAAUAACUUAGGAAAUAUUCUUGUAGUUCGUUCUAAUUCCAUGCUAAUGACUUCCUAGAAUAUCUAAUUGAGGUGCUUAUCAUAUUUAUUAUGUGGCUAAGUUAUGCUUAUCAGAUUAAUUAUCUUUGUCACUAUUCACUACUUUAUAUAUCCUUUAUGUGACACUUAUCCCUGUAUGAAAGAGUUAGAUAAAUGUUCUCAAUUAUACAUGCAAUGAUAGAUACUCAAUCUUAUAUUCCAUUCUAUAAUCAAUAUUGAUGGUUACUAAUCCCUUCCCAGUGGUAAAAAUAUAAAUAACGAUACCUGGAAACUUCCCGGUUAAAAUGCUACAUCGGUAUUAAUCUGUGCGUUUGCAGAUCCCAUUCAUUAUUUAUUUAGAUGAGCAAUUGCAUAUUUCAAUACCGCAUCUCUCAUGUCAAGCUGGGGAUGACAACUUGGCUUAAGUGGUAUGAGGGAUAGGUUUGGCAUUUUUGGCGCAGUUAUCAGAAUUAGAAAACUAAGUCUAUUUUUGGUAAUGACGUUAAGAAUACCCAACAAGCAUUUUUGGCGCCGUUGCCGGGGAAGGUUGAUUACUAAUCAGGAAUGAAUAUAGGAAUUUGAGUUAUCAUUCGCAUCACUAAUAUGAUUGAGCUUAUCAAUUCUCUCAUACAGUUUUACCCUGAUAUUUUUAUAUUUUAUCUUAUGCAGGGUAAUGUAUGAAUAGAAGACAUCUUCCAGGAAAUUUUGUUGACAAUCCCGAAGCAUUAUUCAGAAAAACAAGAGCCAAGCUCAAGAAGAGAUCAUCAACACUUCAGCAAGAAGCUUCAUCCAAUCAAGAAGAUAACCGGAACUUGUCUUCAGAGUUUGAAGUCAUGGCGAACAAAUCAAUCCGCGAUUUCUCAGCUCCCACUACGGACAACAUCUGCACUGGACCUGCUGCAGAGAUCGAUGGCAACUUUGAGCUCAAGCCUGGACUUAUCAACAUGGUGCAAUCCAACUAGUUCUGUGGGAAGGCACACGAAGAUGCUAGUGCUCAUCUCCAACACUUCCUAGAGAUUUGCAACACAUUCACCAUAUCAGUGUUGAUAUUUGGUAACACAAUAAGGAAAUGAUCCGCAAGCGCACGGAUAUCGGUGAGCAUUUCACCCGGGAGGUUUUCUAGAGUAUCGUAUUUAUAUUUUUACCACUGGGAGAAAGGGUGCAUCUGACUAACCAAAUCUAUUGCUACUAUCCCUUUAGGCUACAAAGAAUGUUUCUCGAUGUGAGUGAUGUAUAGAGAAGACUGCAACCGUAGUCUCGUUCUAACCUUGGUAAGGAUGAUCUACUAUUCUAUUGGGGAAGCUAACGGAAUCUAGACACCACAAAGGAUGUUCGACCCGCACCUAUAAACCUACCCGUCCUGCUAACAAGAUGUGGGAUACAAAGGUAACUCAGAAAUGUCACGUUCCUCGCUACUACCACAGUCCAGCUAGUCAGGGGAUAUCUAUAAGUACCCUAGCCUAAACACCACGUUUACGCUAGCAAUGAUUACUCUAAUACUCAACCGGAAGAGGAUUGAAGUAAACUCAUAAACCAAAGAACAAUAAAACAAGAACUUACUAGAAUUAGAAGUCGAAUUACAGAAGAAUCUUAGGAGCAAGCAUCGGGUUCGAAGACUUGAUCCCGCAGGUACAACUCGGAGUAGACACCGAGAGGCCGGCCUUCCUCCGAUCUACACCUCCACUCUAUAUCUCUCAAUCUAGUAGAAACUAGAAGAUCUAAUUCUACUCACAUUGGAUGCUAAGCCUAAAAUAAAUUUUAUUUAGAGGAGAGGUAUUCCUUCGAGGGCUCCUCUCAACUCUAUGAAAAACUUGUCUCCUCCAGGGGCCAGGGGCCUUGCUUAUAUAGUCCUCCUCCUCUAUGCAUUUUUGGGUCGGUAGGCGAUGUGGUACUACAUUAUCCUUGAUCCUUUAGGUCGGUGGAACAUCGUGUGCGAAGAGAGUUCUGAACGGAGUCCAGAGGUGGGCGGGCGCCCAGGUCCUCAGGGCGGGCGCCCUGGGCCUGGCCCCUUUUGGCCUCUGCUUUCUUCCCGUGGCUUCUAGAGUCUUCUAGAUGGUAGAAAAUUGCGCGGUGCGUUGAUAUCUCUAUGUAAUCCCGACAUGUGGGUCUUUCUUCCUUAUUUCCUGAUAACCCCCUGCAGAAAUAGACAAACACCAAAACUCGUGGAAUUCUGUCAGAUAAAACCCUAAGUCUGGGUGUUGGUUGCAUUUGGAUCCUUUUCUUUAUUUAUUUGAUGAUUAUAUUUGGUACUUAAGGACCGUCAACAACUCCCCCAAAUUUACCUCUUGCUCGUCCCUGAGCAAGGCUGGACUCAAAAUUUUCUGCAAUGGUUUCAUGCCUUAAAAGUAAGAUCUUAUCUCUGAAUUAGAGUAAACUGUUAAGACUUAAAAACUUACUCAUUUUACCUUUCCCCAUGGGGCUUGUAACCGUCACUUGUGUCUUGAGCAGUUAAAAGAUAGAACGGUCAAGUCAAGCACCAUGUCUCUUAUUCUUGAUCAGCUAUAGCUCUGGAGUUUUUGCAGAUUUUCAAAUAAAACUCAGAGAUUCCUUAUAUGAUUCUCUCAAAUCUCUCUUUUGUGGUAUUUUUGGAUCCUUACCAAGGCAUUAAUGGUAUAUGCCUUCACUCAAAGUAUGUGGUAUUUUUGGUAUAAUGCAUAGUGAUAUUGCUUUCUCUCUCACCCUAUUCUAAAAGGUUUUGAUAUCUGGAGCUCAUAGGUGGGAGACAGCUAAUACAUACUUACAAGACAUUUAUUGCAUAGUCAAACCAUGGAUCCAGAGAAACAAGUCAAUAAGUUAAAUCAAGAUGUGCAUGUGUGGCGAAUGAAUGGUGUAUGGUGAUGAUGGUGAUAACAAUGGUGAAAGUCUAAUUCUACUUUUGCUCUUUUGAGGGGAUACAUACCUUUCUUGCACUUUGAAGGUUUUUGAGAGGAAUGAGAUGCUCUAUAUUUUCUUUUUCUUUUCUCUCAGGUGGGUAUCUUGUACCCCUAAUUCUACUGUCGGACACUUGUCCAUUUUUACCUCUCGUCUCACUUUUUCUUUUCUUCGAGGUUCCGGGCACUUGCCCCUUUUUAUUUCCUCGUAUUUUUUUCUUUUUUGUUCAGAGCACUCAUCCUCCUAGAAUAAUGUAGCAAGUGGUAGUAACCAAGAUAACUUGAGCAUUUAUUUCACAGGGAAAACAGAAAUAGGAGAAUAUUUUUGGCUAUUCUUUCCCGGAUUAGGAGUAGAAUAAUUUUUGGGUGAAUCUGGAGAUGGAACUGAGUAGAUGUAUGUGGAUGCGUACUUCUAGAGUAGAAGCAGCAUGUGUGAGUGAUCGUGCAAGUGAAUCUUGAUUUAUCCACAUGACAAGCUCCUAAGGGUCUACACAGCUUGACCACACUCAAUGCUCAUAAGCAGUAAAAAGUAAAUGUGUGGCUCAAAGUCUAAUAAGCAUGUAAAUUUGGCUGUGGUAGGAUUUUAAACUCUCAUCAUACAGGAACUCAUCAUGUGUUAUUUUAAAGAUUUUCAAAGAUAAAAUUCUCCAUAAUUAUAGCAUCUCUAGGAACAGAUAAACUGCAGCUCAACCUUCCCAUAUCAUAUCCGUUAACAACUUAGACUUUAGAUCAAGUACUCUUCCCACAAGUUCAGGUUUAGAGCAAAUCUUACUUCAUAACAGUCAUGCCUAAACUUGAGAGAGAUUUCAAUUUUAAGAACUAGUCAUGGCAGAGCAACUAUUCAUCAUUUCCAUGUGAGAGUUUAUCAUGAGGGUUCAUAGCAAACUUUAUUUAUUUAUUUAUUUAGCAAACUAAGCAAAGAUAUAUAUAUAAAAGCACAAAAUAUUUAUUUGGGUUUAUAUGAUUAUGCAUCUUUUAUUAUUUGAGUAAAGUAUAAACGCGAGUAGAAACACUUAGCUAGAUUAAUGGGGGUGCUCUCCCCCAAGCUGGAUUUUGCCGUAAUUUCUUCUGAUGUAGCUAGCAGGUGGUCGAGGUGUAUUUGAAAGUCGGCAGAAGCUGACAGCGAUUAGGAUGUCCUCUGUCUGCUAGCCUUCUUUGAUCCUUGAAUUCUGUGGAGCUCAAAUAGACAACAAAACUUUGUGGAACUGGUUAAGUGUUAGCAUAAAAUCUCUUUGCCUUUAUCAUGUUGAGCCUCCUCAAUAAAUGUUAUUUAUUUAGCAGGAUCAUGCACUUAUUAUUUUUAUAUUUUUAUUGUAAGAUGAAAACAUAUUCAUUUUAUGCCACCACAGUGAAUGUACCUAUGGUUUUUAUGCCAUGAGCAUACUCACAUGGGGCUUAACAUUUUUUUAUUUUCUUUUUGAGAUGAUAUGAAUCUGAUUAACUAAGCAAACUAUUUUAAAUAAUUGAAAGGAAAAUGAUAACUACCAAGUUUACCUCUUGGCAAGGCGUUCGGUGUUUUUAAGUCCUCCAAACGGGACUCUCUGUUUUCUCAAUCGUCCUGAGAUUUGCUGGGUGGCGUAGUCGGUGGUUCCGGCGGCGCCUCCUCUUUGUGUAUAACCAUCUUCUCCCUCCACACCUGACUCGGUGCUACGGUCUCCUCAGGACAGUUCUGUUCAAGCCGUAUGUCUUCAGACCUUACCACUUCCCCUUCGUAGUCUGCCCAUCCGUUCUUUGACGAUUUGCCUCCUCUGGUUGCGUCGUCUUCUUCUUGUCCUGACCUACUUAGAGUCUUCAACUAUAUAGUUAAGGUCAGUAAAAUAGUGGCGUACCUUCUCAGAGGGGAAGUGCAUGUGGAUUUCUCCGGUUCCAAUGUAGAUGAUAGCUUUGAUAGUGUUGAGGAACGGUCUUCUAAGGAUGAUGGGUGGAUCGUACUCGUCUUCUCCCAUGUCAAUGACCUGAAAAUCGUGUGGAGCUAAAUGUAUAUUGGUUGUAGGGGCAUGGUUCCAUGCAGGAGCUCAUAAGUGACUACGGCCAUUAUGUUGUCGUUAGAUCCGGUGUCGUAGAGUGUCUUCUGAAAAGAGUAUCCAUUGAUUUUGCACUUGAUGCUUGGAAAAGCAGGGUCGUCCUUCUUGAUUAGGAAAGGCGACUUGAGUCGACGAUCUUGACCUCUUUGACUUGCAGUGACCAUCUUAGCUAACUCGGUCCAUAUUUGCUUGUUCCUGUUCCUCCUGUUGAUCCUCUUCCUUGGUUCAUGUCGGGAUUGCUCUGAAAAUUGUGUAGUCUUGUUCUUGAAAGAAAGUCUCCUUCUUCCCCUUGAUGUAGAAACUGAUCUUGGCAGUAUUAACGUAGAUGACAGCUCUGGUGUUUAGGAAUGGCCUCCCUAAGAUGAUGGGUGCCCUCUCCUCAGUACCAGUCUCUAUCACCACGACGUCUGCUAGAGCGUACAAGGUACCAACUCGGACGCAGAGGUUCUUCAAUAUUUCCUUUGGGAAACUGAGUGUCCGAUCUGCAACCCUGGGCAUAAUGUGGAUGCUGGAGCCAAAGUCGCAGAGUGCUUUUGGGAAGUCCACCAUGCCGAUGGAGAUCGAGAUGACGGGGCGUCCUGGAUCACCUCUCUUAGUAAUUAGGCCUCUGUUGAUUCCAACCUUGAUUUUGUUGAGGACGGAGUUCACGUCCUCCAGCAUCUCAGGGCAGUGAUUGCCUGAGUGUCCAGUAUCUCCAGUGUGUUUGUGCUCGUAGAUCCUGGUUCUUCUCUUGGUGGAGUCUGGGAGUUAUAAAACUCCUUCAUAUUAUGCUCGAAAUGUUCCUGCUCAUAGAGACAAGGCAGAGAUCAAGUGCAUGGGCCCUGUUGGUGGAAAACACCAACAGAACCAAAAGUGUAUUUGUUCUUCUCUAACCUUAAGCAUAGUGAGCAAGACAAAGUUGAUGGAUCAUGAGUGUAGCAUUUAAAACAUUUGCCAGAUCAGAUUGCUUGACCUAAUGGAAAGAUAAUCUAUCUAUAUAUAUUUUUUGUUUAUAUCUUCCAAACAUUGAAUGUGCAACAUAUUAGCUUAUAUGAUUAGGAGCGUGGGAUCACUAAGGUAGUACUAAGAACAAAGAUUAAAGGACUAAACAUGUUGAAUUAAUUGGGU